CCACACAGACACAUACACACAUCCGUCAAAGAAACAAGUGCACACAAAUAAAUACCUGGCUCGCUAGAUUGCCAAGAGCAAUGGCCUUUAGGUCAUCCAUCUUGCUUGCCACGGUGGCGCUAGCAACGCUAUUCGCGGUCGGUUCGUGCACCACCCCGCUCACCUUCCAGGUCGGCAAGGGCUCCAAGCCUGGCCACUUGGUCCUCACCCCCAACGUUGCCACCAUCUCUGACGUGGAGAUCAAGGAGCACGGUGGCGACGACUUCUCCUUUACGCUCAAGGAGGGUCCGACUGGCACCUGGACGCUUGACACCAAGACCCCGCUCAAGUACCCCCUCUGCAUCCGCUUCGCUGUCAAGUCCGGUGGCUACCGCAUCGCCGACGACGUCAUCCCCGCCAAUUUCAAGGCCGGCACCACCUACAAGACCACCCUCAACAUCUGAUUAGCCUCUUAUGACAAAUAAUAUUUUGAGAGAGCUCAUCUGGACCAAGUGCCAGCGAGCUAAUAUUUAAUUUUUUUCUUUGGUUAUAUUGAGGCACCACACGAGCCAAGAAAAAAGUUAUGCUACAUGUCCCUUCUUGCGCCUUAUUGCGUUAGGUUGAUAUGCAUGAUUACAUAGAUUAAAAUACACUUUUAUUCAAGAUUUUUUGGGGAGAAAUAUAUUGAUCUGGUCCACCUUCAUUAUCCAGAUGCUUGUUCAUUUGAUUUUCCAAUGUUUUGAUACUUAUGAAAUGCUUUGUUGCUUUUGUUUCUAUUACUAGAUCAAUGAAGUUCGUUUUAUCGAUUUUCACUUGUAAGGAAUGAUGUGGUUCAUGCCCAUUUUCAUCGGUCAUAUAACCAUGGACCUUUGGUAAGAAGCUCCUAUUACUUACUCCAUCCAUACAUCUUUCUUUGAUAUUUCUUCAUGAAAUAUACAUAGGUGUUAACCUUCGUUUUCGACCAAAAAUACUAGUCGUAUACCCUUGGAUCUUUGGUGAGAGACUCCUACUACGUAUCACAUAGAUAUUUUCUUGCUAGAAAUUAGUUUCUUCAAUUUUUAUGGAGACCAUUUCUAAAUAAAAAUCUAUCGAUUUAAGCCUUCGGUAUUGCCCAAAAUAGUCGUUCAUGCCCGUUUUCUGCUAAAAAUGCCGACUGUAUAACCAUGGAUCUUUAGCGAGAGGCUCUUAUUACUUACCCCCAUACAUAUUCCCGUGCUAGAAAUCAAAUUCUUCGAUUUUUUGUGGAGAACAUUUCUUCAUGAAAAAAUCAUAGGAGUCAACCAUCGAUAAUGCCAAAAACACUAGUCGUGCACCCAUGUAUCUUCGUUGAGAGGCUCCUACUUCUUACCCCAUACAUCUUACAUGCUAAAAGUAGGUUUAUUGGAUUUUUGGUGAAAACUAUUUCUUAAUGAAAAAUCUAUACCUAGCCUUCACUAUUGUUAAAAAGGGACGUUCAUGCCCAUUUUUGCCAAAAAUGCCGAUCGUAUGCCCAUGAAUUUUUAGUGAUGAACUCCUGUUACUUACCCCAUAUAUUUCCUUAUUAGAAAUUAGAUUCUUUUAUUUGUGUUGGAGAUCAUUUAUUCACGAAAAAUACAUAGAUGUUUGCCUUCGGUAUUGCCGAAGAUAGCAGUUCAUGACCGUUUUCGGCCAACAAUACCUAUUGUAUACCCAUGGAUCUUUAGUGAGAGGCUCAUAUUACUUACCCCACACAUCUCUCCUUGCUAGAAUUAGUUUAUAUGAUUUUUCAAGGAUACCAUUUCUUCAUAAAAAAUCCAUGUGUGUUAGCAUUCGGUAUUGCUAAAAAUGGAUGUCCAUGCCCAUUUUCAAAUAAAUUACCAGUCAUGUGCCUAUCAUUUUUUGAGAAGAGGAUCGUAUUCAUUCCCCCUCAAAUGUUUCAUUUCAUUAAAUAAAUUUCUUCUAUUUUUGGUGGGGAUCAUUCUUCGUAAAAAUCAUAGAUGUUAGCCUUCGGUAUUAUCGAGAACGGUCGUUCAUGACUGUUUUCAACCAAAAAUAUUGGUUAUAUGCCCGAUCUUCAGUAAGAGACUCCUAUUCCUUACCACUCACAUAUUUUUGUGCCAGAAAUAAGUUUCUUGGACUUUUGGUGGUGACUAUUACUUCAUAAAAAAAUCCAUAGAUGUUAGCCUUAGGUUUUUUUUCGAAAUGGUCGUUUCCGACCAAAAAUAUCGAUCGUAUACCCAUGGAUGUUUGGUGAGAGGCUCUUAUUACUUACCCCAUACAUUGUUCCAUGAAAAGAAUAAGUUUCUUGUAUUUUUGGUGGAAACCAUUUCUUUAUGAAAAAUCCAUAAGUGUUAACCUUCAAUAUUGCCAAAAUGGACAUUCAUGGCUGUUUUUUUGGCCAAAAAAUCGGCUGCAUACCCAUGAAUCUUUGGUGAGAGGCUCCUAUUACUUAGCUCAUAGAUAUUUUGUUACCAAAAAUUAGUUUCUUGUAUUUUUGAUUGAGACUAUAUUUUUCAUAAAAUCCAUAUGUUUUAGAUUUCAGUAAUGUUGAAAACAAGUGAUCAUGUCCGUCUUCGGGCAAAAGUACCGGUCGUAUAACCAUGGAUAUUUGGAGAGAUGCUCCUAAUACUUACCCCUCGGUAUUUCCAAAAACACCCAUUCAUGGUUGUUUUUAACAAAAAUACAGGUCGUAUGCAAUUGGAUCUUUGGUGGAAAUAUCCUAUUACCAACCCACCCAUCUUUACUUCAAAUAAAUCAAUUUCUUUGAUUUUUGGUGGAGUCCAUGUCUUCACGAAAAAUCCAUAAGUGCUAGCCUUCGGUAUUACCGAAAACGGCUAUUUAUGAUUGUUUUGGUCAAAAAAACUGAACGUAUACCAUGGAUCUUUGGUGAGAGGCUCCUAUUACUUACCCCCACACAUAUUUCCUUGCCAAAAUAGUUUCUUUGACUUUUGUUGCAGACCAUUUAUUCAUAAAAAAUUCGUAGGUGUUAGCCUUUGAUAUUAUCAAAUAUCGAUGUUCAUGUCCAUUUUUUGGCCAAAAAUAUUGGCUGUAAGACCAUGGAUCUUUGGUGAUGGACUCCUAUUACUUAACACAUACAUCUUUCCUUGUUAGGAAUUAGUCUCUUGGAUUUUUGGCGAAGACCAUUUCUUCUUGAAAAAUUAUAGGUGUUAGCCUUCCAUAUUGCUGAAAAUGGUCGUUCAAAUCUGUGCAUUCAACUGAGUGCAUGAAGUGAGGCAGGAGCUUCUCAGAUAAUGGUCGCUGAUAUGUGGUAAGCCCAUAAAUAUGGUAGCUAGCUGGUUUCUCCAUGUACAAUAACAUGCGCCAUAGGAAAAUAUAGUUAGUGAGAAAGGGUACAUGUAGAAGAUUGUUGACUGCUUUUAGAUAUGCAUGUUGUGAUAAGAUUGAAAUUGCGAAACUUGUUACCUACAAGUGGGAUGGAUGUGGGAUGGACGGGGAAUAGGAGCUAGAUUGCUAGAAUGGAGUUGUCGAGUCCAACUUGGUUUCACCGGCUAGGACACCAAAGCAAGUCAUGCGUGACCACAACACCGUGCUCAAAAGCAUUGUAUGUGGCAUGACUUCAAAAGAUGCUCUCAUACAGACACAACAACUAGUAUUCUAGAAACAACACUAGACAUAAUAGUGAUAAACAUGACCUAGCAGUAACCACCAAGUAUUGUUUGUUGCUAGCCUAGCUACUGGUCUGGGUUUAAGUGCUUUACAUAGUUUGUCCUUUGCUUGGGGUUGUGUGGACAUUUCACUUUGCCUCCUACUUGCUAAGGAAUAGCACAGGGGAGGUUAAGAGUCUUCUCUCACUGGAACGGGAAGAGAUGAAGGUGACAUCAGAACAAGACAACAAUAUAUUCAUAAGUAAAAGAUCUACGACUUUGAAGUUGUCCAUUUCUUCACCUGAGUUUAUUUCAAUAACUAAAAAAUAAAAUAUGAGACCUUUAAGUAGAUACAAUAUAUUUUAAAUUAAAUAAUUGUUUAGUUUCAAAAUAUGACAACGUUUGAAGAUUUGAUAAUCAUGUGAUUAGUGACCUCGUUUGUACAUUGAGAGUAGCAAGUGUAUAUCCACCAUUCUCAUUAGACUUGGUUAGUUAGAGUUUGUGCUAGUUACUCAUGAUGAUUGAUAGCACCUUGAUGGCUUAGUGGCAAUUAGGAGUUUAGUGAUCAUCUGAUGGAGAUUGUCGGUGGUCCAACUCAAGGUGUAAAUGGUUGUGGAUGAUUCAUUGUACCAGAGUGGUGAAGGAUCAACAUGUAGAGAACACUUGAUCCUUGUGUGGAUCAAAUGGGAACGACACCCUUACACGAGUGUUCCAAUAAGGACUAGUGGGAUGCUCACUCUUCGAUACAUUGGAAAACAUUGUCUUCUAUUCCGUCUUUACUUUGAACAUUUAAUCUGAGUAAUUAUAUUCUUGUCUUUACAUUACUAAAAUUGGCUUGCUACAAUAGUGGUGGAAUGUAGGUUGCAAGACUUUUGGGGUAGAAAAGAAAACACCCUUAAGGACAAGGGUGAAGUGUGCAAUCCGAUAGAUUUUAAUUAUUUCAAGAAAUCUUCGAUUAACCCAAUUCACAUUCUCUCUUGGACAUCAUGAUCUUUUCCAUCGAGAAGGACAACAUUGUUUUGGGUUAUUUCUUCUUUUGAAUUCAUUCGCAUGAUUCCAAAUAUUUGAUUUUGAUAACUUCUAAUAGAACUUGGAACCGUAAACAAUUUUAAAUGCAACAAUCAUCAACUCUAUAUGAGAUCUACUAUUUUUUAUUUGGUAAUUACUUCAUCUUGGUUUAUUAUAAAAUUUCAAUUUCAAAAUACAUCAACUUGAAACAAAAAAUUGGGAGAGUGACUGAUUUCCAAUAAAAAAGUCAACUACAAAGUCGUAUUUCCAGCGAGUUUGGUUGAACAAUUAAAAUUUUCAAAUUAUGAUAAUUUCAAACAAAAUUCUGGGCAAGUAAAUGUUUUCAAAUGAAAAAGUCAUCCGUUAAGACAAUGUAUAUUGCAGAGUAUUGUCUCCUUUAUGCAAUACUAGUUAAGUGCCCGUUGCAAAGGGAACAUAUAAUAACAUAAUAAUUUAUAUAUAUAAUGUGUCUUAUAUUGUUAUAAGAAAAUGUUUUAUAAUCCAUUUGUAAUCCUAGCCAUACAUAAAUUUUGUUAUUUUAAUUUAGCUGUUUCACUACUACAUUGCAAACAUCAGUAUUAUACAGACUUCGAUAUAUGCCACGAUUUGCAUGGUCUCAUCAUUGAAGAGCACAUGCCACACCUGCUGGUAGAAGUUCCAUCGUACAUUGUCAGUCAUCAGGUACGCACCACCAUACACGCUUGCUUAAACAAAAAAGGCAAGUGUAUGUGUUUGCAAAGAGAAUUAAAGGCAGGCCGGCAUAAAAGCUACCCCGACGAUGGUGAUUGGUCAUUGCUGUCGGUCCUCCUUUGCGUCACCUCUCGCACCAAGAUGACGCCAUAGUCCUUGAUAUAGUAGUCGUCGGACGCAUACGGCAUGGUGAGUACCGAUGACUCUUGGCUGGGCUGCCAAACGAAGUGCACCCCGGGCUCAUCAGUGAGAUAGUACACCUAGUCGUUGCACCACCGGAUGUGCUACUCCUCUACAUACAUCUUGUUCGAGGACACUCACACAAUGUCAGCAACGGUCGUCGUCCUAGCGUACAAGAAUUCAUGACCGGUCAGUAGUGACUUACGUGGUAGGUUGAGCUUCAGGUGGAUGAUGAGCUGGAAGUUGUGACGGUGUCGUUGUCGGAUGCGGUGCCCAGAACAACCCGAGUCGCCGGCGUUGGCGACGACCAUGAGGUCCCCCUAUUUGAAGAUGGACAACGCGGUGCAGCUGCUCUGGAUCGCGUCCAAGCAGUGGCUGCGCCGGAGCUUGCCGAACACAGCGACACAUGUGGCCACAUAGUACUGCUUCCAGAGGUCGAACUGGCAGUCGCCAAGCUUCUUCUCGUUGUCGAUGAGCGACGCCAACGCGAGCGCUUCCUGCCAGUGGUGUUUGUUUGGGGUUUUCAAGUAAGAAACAUGGAUUCAUCUUUGGGGUUGGUUUAUGAAAAUGACUCACAAGUCGGAUCCAUGGAAAAAAUAUUACGGAGAAUAAAUGUCACACAUAUAAAAAAGAAAUUUAAGUUAAAAAUAUUAUUCAAACAAAAGAAAUUGCAUGCAAGGCUCUUCUUUAAAUACUACUCUCUCCAUCCAAAAAUAUAAUUAAGGAAUAUCGUUGAUAAUUAUCUACUACUACACAUUGUGCAAGAGUAGCAUGUGUGCUUUGGGAGAGAUGUAGUAGAUAUUUUUACUGUAACAGAUGUUGACAUAAACACACAUCUGGUGUAGUGGUAGCUACAAGCACAUUUGCUUGAGAGGUCGCAGGUUUGAAUCUCAUUAGGGCCACAUUUGUGUUUUUUUAAUUUAAUUUUAGCUAGGCGUGGGAUGCACGUGAGAAUGGGCUUCGCGGGGAGGGGGGAAUGAGAAUGGGCUUUGCGGGAAGGGGGGAAUGGGUUUGGCAAAACACAGAAUGGUAGCCAGGAAUGGGAAUGGGCUUUGCGGGGAGGGGGGAUUGGGAAUGGCAGAACACGGAAUGGUAGCCUACCUCUUACCGCCUUAAUAAGUAGUAGAAAUUUGUUCAAUAGCACAACAAGCACACAAACUAUAGAAGCAAGGCCAAAAAAAGUUAAUGUGAAAUGACGAACCAUAACCCUAUUAAAUAUUGUGAUGUGAUAAUUUCUUUUCGAGCUUUAAAUUAGGGUAAUAAAAGAAAAUGUUAAAUAAAUAUUCAUGGUAUUGUGACAUCGAGAACGGAAUCAAUAUAUAAUUGUCUUCACUAGAGCGAAAAAAGUGACUGGACUAAGGCACAACUUAUUUUCAGCUUCUUCACAAAUUUAAGCAGAAGUUCUGCCAAACAGGCAGCUUCUGCAGCAGCUUAUCAGUUCAGCUGUUUCUCAGAAUACGCUAAAAGCAGCCAACAAACAAAAGCUGCUUUUCACCAGCUUCUCAGAUAAGUUGCUUUUUCAACAAGCACCAGCUGUGCCAAACAGGGCCUAAGCAUAGCUUGGCUGGUAAGGGUACUUAUGGUGGAAUCUACCCAAAGGGUUCCAACGAUUACUUCUCAAUCUCAAGAAUCUAGAGGUUAUCUAAAAAGGGAUUGGCACAUGAGUGUUAUUUGUUGUUUAUAGGUUACAUGAUUUUAAAAAGAAUUCUAAAAGGGAGUGGAACAAGAGUGAAGGUGAUUUAUAUAUAUAUUUUUAAAACGAGAAAAGGGGUGGAACAAGAGUGAAGGUGAUUUAUUGUUUGUAGCUUUUUUAAAAAGAAAUAAGUAGAGAGUUUAUGGGGACUGUAUGCUUUUGCUUUUCUUCUCCUUUCUUUUACGAGAGGAGUGCAUGCCUGUGUUUGUUUUUAACUUUUGUGUGAGAGGAAAGCAUGGCCACCGAGCUCGAACCUACUUAUAGCAAUUCUGUACAUGUGGAGUGUUGGUCUUUGAACAAGUUGGAUGGGGUUUAUGAAGGAACAAAAAUAAUCCAACCAGCGAUGUUUGUGGCAUGCCGUACGUUCUCUGACUCUGUCGUCCAUAAAUACUUGCCUAAUUGCAACAUCGAUCCCACACAGACACAUACACAAAUCCGUCAACAAAACAAGUGCACACAAAUAAAUACCUGGCUCGCUAGAUUGCCAAGAGCAAUGGCCUUUAGGUCAUCCAUCCUGCUCGCCAUGGUGGCGCUGGCUACGCUAUUCGCGGUCGGUUCAUGCACCACCCCGCUCACCUUCCAGGUCGGCAAGGGCUCCAAGCCUGGCCACUUGGUCCUCACCCCCAACGUUGCCACCAUCUCUGACGUGGAGAUCAAGGAGCACGGUGGUGACGACUUCUCCUUUACGCUCAAGGAGGGUCCGACUGGCACUUGGACGCUUGACACCAAGACCCCGCUCAAGUAUCCCCUCUGCAUCCGCUUCGCUGUCAAGUCUGGUGGCUACCGCAUCGCCGACGACGUCAUCCCCUCCAAUUUCAAGGCCGGCACCACCUACAAGACCACCCUCAGCAUCUGAUUAGCCUCUUAUGACGAAUAAUAUUUUGAGAGAGCUCAUCUGGACCAUGUGCCAGCGAGCUAAUAUUUAAUUUUUUUCUUUGGUUAUAUUGAGGCACCACACGAGCCAAGAAAAAAGUUAUGCUACAUGUCCCUUCUCGCGCCUUAUUGCGUUAGGUUGAUAUGCAUGAUUACAUAGAUUAAAAUACACUUUUAUUUAAGAUUUUUUGGGGAGAAAUAUAUUGAUCUGGUCCACCUUCAUUAUCCAGAUGCUUGUUCAUUUGAUUUUCCAAUGUUUGGAUACUUAUGAAAUCCUUUGUUGCUUUUGUUUCUAUUACUAGAUCAAUGAAGUUCGUUUUGUCGAUUUUCACUUGUAAGGAAUGAUGUGGUUCAUGCCCAUUUUCAUCGGUCAUAUAACCAUGGACCUUUGGAAAGAAGGUCCUAUUACUUACUCCAUCCAUACAUCUUUCUUUGAUAUUUCUUCAUGAAAUAUACAUAGGUGUUAACCUUCGUUUUCGACCAAAAAUACUAGUCGUAUACUUUUGGAUCUUUGGUGAGAGACUCCUACUACGUAUCACAUAGAUAUUUUCUUGCUAGAAAUUAGUUUCUUCAAUUUUUAUGGAGACCAUUUCUUCAUAAAAAUCCAUCGAUUUAAGCCUUCGAUAUUGCCCAAAAUAGUCGUUCAUGCCCGUUUUCUACUAAAAAUACCGACUAUAUAACCAUGGAUCUUUAGCGAGAGGCUCUUAUUACUUACCCCCAUACAUAUUCCCGUGCUAGAAAUCAAAUUCUUGGAUUUUUUAUGGAGAACAUUUCUUCAUGAAAAAAUCAUAGGAGUCAACCUUCGAUAAUGCCAAAAACACUAGUCGUGCACCCAUGUAUCUUCGUUGAGAGGCUCCUACUACUUACCCCAUACAUCUUACAUGCUAAAAGUAGGUUUAUUGGAUUUUUGGUGAAAACUAUUUCUUCAUGAAAAAUCUAUACCUAGCCUUCACUAUUGUUAAAAAGGGACAUUCAUGCCGAUUUUUGCCAAAAAUGCCGAUCGUAUGCCCAUGAAUUUUUAGUGAUGAACUCCUGUUACUUACCCCAUAUAUUUCCUUAUUAGAAAUUAGUUUCUUUUAUUUGUGUUGGAGAUCAUUUAUUCACGAAAAAAUACAUAGAUGUUUGCCUUCGGUGUUGUCGAAGAUAGCAGUUCAUGACCGUUUUCGGCCAACAAUACCUGUUGUAUACCCAUGGACCUUUAGUGAGAGGCUCAUAUUACUUACCCCACACAUCUUUCCUUGCUAGAAAUUAGUUUAUUUGAUUUUUCAAGGAUACCAUUUCUUCAUAAAAAAAUCCAUGUAUGUUAGCAUUAGGUAUUGCUAAAAAUGGAUGUCCAUGCCCAUUUUCAAAUAAAUUACCAGUCGUGUGUCUAUCAUUUUUUGAGAAGAGGAUCAUAUUCAUUCCCCCUCAAAUGUUUCAUUUCAUUAAAUCAAUUUCUUGUAUUUUUGGUGGGGAUCAUUCUUCGUAAAAAUCAUAGAUGUUAGCCUUCGGUAUUAUCGAGAACGGUCGUUCAUGACUGUUUUCGACCAAAAAUAUUGGUUAUAUGCCCGAUCUUCAGUAAGAGACUCCUAUUCCUUACCACUCACAUAUUUUUGUGCCAGAAAUAAGUUUCUUGGACUUUUGGUGGUGACUAUUACUUCAUAAAAAAUCCAUAGAUGUUAGCCUUAGGUUUUUUUCGAAACGACCAUUCAUGGUCGUUUCCGACCAAAAAUAUCGAUCGUAUACCCAUGGAUGUUUGGUGAGAGGCUCUUAUUACUUACCCCAUACAUUGUUCCAUGAAAAAAUAAGUUUCUUGUAUUUUUGGUGGAAACCAUUUUUUCAUGAAAAAUCCAUAAGUGUUAACCUUCGAUAUUGCCAAAAUGGACAUUCAUGGCUGUUUUUGGCCAAAAAAUCGGCUGCAUACCCAUGAAUCUUUGGUGAGAGGCUCCUAUUACUUAGCUCAUAGAUAUUUUGUUACCAAAAAUUAGUUUCUUGUAUUUUUUAUUUAGACUAUAUUUUUCAUAAAAUCCAUAUGUUUUAGAUUUUACUAAUGUUGAAAACAAGUGAUCAUGUCCAUCUUCGGGCAAAAGUACCGGUCAUAUAACCAUGGAUAUUUGGAGAGAUGCUCCUAAUACUUAACCCUUACAUAUCCCCUUGCCAGAAAUCAAUUUCUUAGACUUUUCGUUGAGACCAUUUCUUCAUGAAAAAAAUCAUUGGUGUUAGCCCUCGGUAUUUCCAAAAACACCCAUUCAUGGUCGUUUUUAACAAAAAUACAGGUCGUAUACAAUUGGAUCUUUGGUGGAAAUAUCCUAUUACUAACCCACCCAUCUUUACUUCAAAUAAAUCAAUUUCUUUGAUUUUUGGUGGAGUCCAUGUCUUCACGAAAAAUCCAUAAGUGUUAGCCUUCGGUAUUACCGAAAACGACUAUUUAUGAUCAUUUUGGUCAAAAAAACUGAAUGUAUACCGUGGAUCUUUGGUGAGAGGCUCCUAUUACUUACCCCCACACAUAUCCUUGCCAAAAUAGUUUCUUUGACUUUUGUUGCAGACCAUUUCUUCAUAAAAAAUUCGUAGGUGUUAGCCUUUGAUAUUAUCAAAUACCGAUGUUCAUGUUCAUUUUUUGGCCAAAAAUAUUGGCCGUAAGACCAUGGAUCUUUGGUGAUGGACUCCUAUUACUUAACACAUACAUCUUUCCUUGUCAGGAAUUAGUCUCUUGGAUUUUUGGCGAAGACCAUUUCUUCAUGAAAAAUUAUAGGUGUUAGCCUUCCAUAUUGCUGAAAAUGGUCGUUCAAAUCCGUGCAUUCAACUGAGUGCAUGAAGUGAGGCAGGGCCUUCUCAGAUAAUGGUCGCUGAUAUGUGGUAAGCCCAUAAAUAUGGUAGCUAGCUGGUUUCUCCAUGUAUAAUAACAUGCGCCAUCGGAAAAUAUAGUUAGUGAGAAAGGGUACAUGUAGAAGAUUGUUGACUGCUUUUAGAUAUGCCUGUUGUGAUAAGAUUGAAAUUGCGAAACUUGUUACCUACGAGUGGGAUGAACGUGGGAUGGACGGGGAAUAGGAGCUAGAUUGCUAGAAUGGAGCUGCCGAGUCCAACUUGGUUUCACCGGCUAGGACACCAAAGCAAGUCAUGCGUGACCACAACACCGUGCUCAAAAGCAUUAUAUGUGGCACGACUUCAAAAGAUGCUCUCAUACAGACACAACAACUAGCAUUCUAGAAACAACACUAGACAUAAUAGUGAUAAACAUGACCUAGCAGUAACCACCAAGUAUUACUUGUUGCUAGCCUAGCUACUGGUCUGGGUUUAAGUGCUUUACAUAGUUUGUCCUUUGCUUGGGGUUGUGUGGACAUUUCACUUUGCCUCCUACUUGCUAAGGAAUAGCGCAGGGGAGGUUAAGGGUCUUCUCUCACUGGAACGGGAAGAGAUGAAGGUGACAUCAGAACAAGACAACAAUAUAUUCAUAAGUAAAAGAUCUACGACUUUGAAGUUGUCCAUUUCUUCACCUGAGUUUAUUUCAAUAACUAAAAAAAUAAAAUAUGAGACCUUUAAGUAGAUACAAUAUAUUUUAAAUAAAAUAAUUGUUUAGUUUCAAAAUAUGACAACGUUUGAAGAUUUGAUAAUCAUGUGAUUAGUGACCUCGUUUGUACAUUGAGAGUAGCAAGUGUGUAUCCACCAUUCUCAUUAGACUUGGUUAGUUAGAGUUUGUGCUAGUUACUCAUGAUGAUUGAUAUCACCUUGAUGGCUUGGUGGAGGUUAGGAGUUUAGUGAUCAUCUGAUGGAGAUUGUCGAUGGUCCAACUCAAGGUGUAAAUAGUUGUGGAUGAUACAUUGUACCAGAGUGGUGAAGGAUCAACAUGUAGAGAGCACUUGAUCCUUGUAUGGAUCAAAUGGGAACGAUACCCUUACAUGAGUGUUCCAAUAAGGACUAGUGGGAUGCUCACUCUUUGAUACAUUGGAAAAACAUUGUCUUUUAUUCCGUCUUUACUUUGAACAUUUAAUCUGAGUAAUUAUAUUCUUGUCUUUAAAUUACUAAAAUUGGCUUGCUAGAAUAGGGGUGGAAUGUAGGGUGCAAGAUUUUUGUGGUAGAAAAGAAAACACCCUUAAGCACAAGGGUGAAGUGUGCAAUCCGAUAGAUUUUAAUUAUUUCAAGAAAUCUUCGAUUAACCCAAUUCACAUUCUCUCUUGGACAUUGCGAUCUUUUCCAUUGAGAUGGACAACAUUGUUUUGGGUUAUUGCUUCUUUUGAAUUCAUUCGCAUGAUUCCAAAUAUUUGAUUUUGAUAACUUCUAAUAGAACUUGGAACCGUAAACAAUUUUAAAUGCAACAAUCAUCAACUCUAUAUUGGAUCUACUAUUUUUUAUUUGGUAAUUACUUCAUCUUGGGUUAUUAUAAAAUUUCAAUUUCAAAAUACGUCAACUUGAAACAAAAAAUUGGGAGAGUGACUGAUUUCCAAUAAAAAAAGUCAACUACAAAGUCGUAUUUCCAACGAGUUUGGUUGAACAAUUUAAAAUUUCAAAUUAUGAUAAUUUCAAACAAAAUUCUGGGCAAGUAAUUAUUUUCAAAUGAAAAAGUCAUCCGUUAAGACAAUGUAUAUUCUUAUAUAGAUGUACGACUUUGGUUUUGGGCAUUUCUUAUUUGAAUAAUUAAAAAAUCAAAAUAUGAGAACUUUAAAUAUAUUUUAAAUAAAAUGAUAGUUAAGUUUCUAAAAUUUCAUAACUAUUUUUUAAAACGGAGAGGGUAUAUGUUUUUAUAAAAAAAAUUUGGUACCAACUACAGCCACAUACAUAUAUUACAUAGGCUUACUAUAGGACAUUGGGCUCAUAUUACAUUUACUAGUGUCUAGCACGCGCCCUGCGCGCGUUGUGUUCUCGUGGUGAGGACAACGAAGCACCCAUUUAUGUUGAGAAGCCGAAAAAGCCGAAAAGACGACCUUAUCUGCAUACUGCUGGCGUCACUAAUAUAUGUUUUCGGCCGUUGGAUGGGGAUGGGGAAGUCAGAGAUACGUUUCUGACAAUUGGAUUGAACUAAAAAUAAUAUUAGCAUGAUAUUUGGUGGAUUUAAUAGGUGCUAGUGACGUGAUGUGUGUUUUUUUGUUUCACUGUAGAAGGAUAUUGGAUUGCAUUGGCGUUCUAGGAGAUUUGCCUUUGGCUGGAGUUGAUGGAAACUGCACAUUGUCAACAUACUGCUUGGGGGAUAACUUUUGGUAGAAGGUUUCUAUAAAAACAGAUAAGUAGCAAAAGAAGAGCAUCAACUUAUUCCGAAGACAAUCUGACCAGCAAGAAUAGAUAUACUUAUUUGACAUUGCAAUUUUACGAACAAUCAGCCAAACAAAGAUUCUACGGAACAGCUGACAACCAGCUGAAGGUAAGCAUUAACUUGAUUCAGAGGUAAUUGGAUUAUCAGCAACGUGCAUGUUUGUUUUCCCUAUAGUCAAAGCAUAAAAUGCAUGCAAGCCAUUAUUACCAGGCAUCACAUGUAAGAAUCAGAAGAGAAUGUUUGAAGGCAGUACCUAAAUCCAUGAGCAGCAACAUCUAAGUGCUUCUUCUUUAUUACAUCGACCUUCAAAGCAUAGCUCAGAUCAAUGUAGUUUUCUUUCUUUACAUCAGAAGGGUGAGACCUACGAAUGAACGUAAAAAUACACAUAUCACCAAUCUACAAAUAGUUAUCAAGACAAAAUUGAUGAUAUUCGUAUUUAAACAUCGUUCUCUAAUCAUUAUUAGGAUUCUGAGACCUCCUCUUGAGAUCUCUGUGCCUUAGCUCAACAUUCCAUGAUUGUUUGUUCUGUUGGAGCAGUAGUUGAUAAAAUCUAGCAAAACCAUGUGCAGUUUGCAAACUUAAUUGGAUCAUUCUAAAUAAAUUGGCAUUUAGCUUGUGUCAAUUGUAGUAGUGAGAAAACAAAAUUCAGAACAUGUUAAUCUAGAGUAGGGGUGUAAGUAACCAACCAAAAUUGUUGAGACUUUGCGCGAAGAUCACAUUGAUGUAAUGUAAUGGAGAACUGUGAUUUGUUGUAACCAUGGAACUGAUUAUGUUUCACUGAAGUACCUACUAAACACAGACCAUAAUGUCAGAGAACACUAAAGGAUAUAGCUUGAAUCUACACUAAUUUAAUAAUGAAGCUAUAAUCACGAAUCAAGGAUAUAGUUAAGCACACAAGAGUCAUUGUACUGCUUCCUUAUGUCAUCAGAAGCUUCCUUCUUUCAAAUUAAAACUCAAUUUUAGAAAUUUGGGUGUCUUCAUGGCUCACGUUCCACAUUAGCAAGGAUGCAAAGUAUGGAUCAGCUGGAGCCUGAAAUAAGAUAAACUAAUAUAUUAUGUUAACAAUUUAAAAUAUACGUGUGACAUUCUUUUUUAUGGAAACUCUUAAAGAAGAUCUAACAAAGGAGAAGGAAGUGUUGCAAUUUUUUUCAUCCUCCCAUGCAAAAGUUUUGGUUAUCAAGUUACCAAUCAUAGAUGGGAAAAAAUAAAAGAAAAAGAAAUACAGUUUAUGUUGCAAAAGGCAAGUAGCUGAUUUAUAGAAAUUUGCUCGAUUUGGAGCCCAUUGGAAAGUAUGUUAAACUGAAGUUGAUGUUGUUAGCAUAUGUGGAAAUAAAAACUCACUUUGGAAUGUUUUGGAAAGUUAUCCUUAUCUUUUUCUACACGCAUGAGAUUGAAGUGGGCACCCUUACCAGCACUAUACCAAUUAUCUUCUUGCAGAAGUAUCAAAGUAAACAUUUAAGAUGUUAUUAACAAUAUAAAUCAAAGUCGAGAUGCACAUUAUAUGGUGUUAGGUAAUAUGCAUGCUCAAUAUUAAUAUGCCAUAGAAGGAAAUAGGCCGAAACCAUUGAAUCCUACCUUUUAUAUUCCUCACGCCGAGUAUCUUGGUCAGAGGAGUCAAAUAAAACGACAUAUACAUGAUAAUAGAUAAGUAGUUUAUGAAAGUUUCCACUUCAAAUCAAAUGAUAUCAGGAACUGUCUCUGAGAAUCAUAUAAAUGGUAGCAUAACAGUUCCACUUAGUAACCAAUGGCAGAGCAAGAAUUAGAAGUUGCUUCUUAUAUGCGCAUACAUCCAAUUUCCAGCUCAUUACCAAAUUAAAUAAAAGGAUGGUGUUUAUAAAGAGAUGUCAAAUAAAACGGCAUUCUAUAAAAUAAAUAGACUGAGAAACUUUCCAAUGUAAAUCAAAUGAUUACAGAAACUGAAAGACUAUGUUAGAAAUAAAAUAGACACUUAGGAUCCAUUUGAAACACAAUAAUUUUACAUGAAUUAUAUAGCAAUUUUACGUGAAUCAGUUCAUUUAUUUAAAGGAAAAAUGUGUUGUCCCUGCUCAAACUUCACUGUCCAUUGAAUUCAAACAUUGUUUUAGGAGUUCUAAAAUUGUUUCAGGAGUUGUAAAUGCGAUGUCAGACCUGAGGCCUUCACGACGCACUACCGCCACUGGACACCAUGCCACCAGCCAUCUCCAAGGUACGCACUCGUGGAUCGCAGCCGCAGCACCAUCGCCCAUAGACCACAGCUAGCAACCCCGCCCUGGUGCACCGCAGCAGUCGCACAAGUCGCGACCUAGAGCCCGAGCCUGCUGUUGUCAUCGCCAUCGCCGUGAGUUGAACAUGAGUUGCCGCCCACGGAGCCGGUCGGUAGCUAGGGUUUGGCUCGAGGUUAGCGGGACGACGACGGUUCCACCAGGUGCUAGUCGACAAUGGUGACUCACACGACGAGCAGUGGGGGCUGGUGAGGUGGUCGGCCCCACGCCAGUGGAGCACUCGCCCUCCCCGCUGCACCUCUGCGGGAGGGAAGACUCUAACCCGCUCUUCUGAAGCAUCGACCUUGCGCACGACAGCAUCGCGGAGGCUCCUAUCGACGUGAUCCGGACGCUAGCGACGGGAAAAGGUAAAUCCUAGAUUCAGGCCGCGGCUAGCGGUGGUGCUGGCAUCGCCAAAGAAGGUCCUGGUGCCUGGAGGAAGGGUCAGAGAAGUGUGAAGAGGGAUUGAUAGAGACGUGAGGAACUUGGUUUGUGGGAGCAAGACGGAUUUGGGUGGGGGCAGGUCGAUGGACGGGACAUGAAGCGAAGCCUCUAGAGGAAGCAAGAGAAAGGCGUGGUGGCCUGGAGCUCGAUGCAUGCCAUUGAGAUAGGAUCGAACGGUCUAAAUAAAAAGGAACAACGUGGACACCACGAAUGGAGUCGUUUUGAACCGGCUUUUAUAUGAUAGAAAAAAUAGAAAUGUCACCCAUAUUUCUUGCCCAGAAAUGUCGAGCUCUAUUUAUUCUAAAUAGGGUUACAAUCUGCUGACACAAUUAAACAGUGCAGCAAGUUUGUGGGCUCUAUGCAGCUAGACCCAGACAUAUGCACAUGUUUCUUUGCUUAAAUGCAGCAGCUCAAAUAUUAUACUGCAGAGCAUCGUAGAUGCAUAUUGUGCCCGAUCAAGUUUUUGCCAGAAAAACUGUGCAUUCAACUGAAUGCCAUGAAUGAGGUAGGGUCUUCCCAGAUAAAUAUGGUAGCUAGCUAGUUCCUUCAUAUACGGUAACAUGCGCCACGGGAAACUAUAGGUGGUGAGAAAGGGUAUACGUGUAGAAGAUAGUUGAGUGCUUUCAGAGAUGGCAAAACCUGUUACCUAGGAGUGGGAUACACGGGGAAUAGGAGCUGGAUUGCUAGAACAGAGGUGCCGAAUUCAACUUGGUUUCACCGGCUGGGACACCAAAGCAAGUUGUGAGUGACCAAAGCACCAUGCGUGACACGGCUUGAAAAUAGACUCUCAUACAUACCCAGCAACCAGCAUUCGAGAAAACAAAAUUGAACGCAAUACUGAUAAACACAAACUCCGAGCAAACACCAAGUAUUGUUUGUUGAUAGCACACCUACGGGUCUGGAUUCAAGUGGUUUUCGCAGCUUGGCAUUUGCUUAAUUGUGGCUGUCUAUAGAUUUGCUUCUACCUUUUUGUACCUUUGCCGGUGGAUAGCGCGUAAGGGUGUGUUUGGUUGGAUGUACACGGUGGGUUGGAGGGGGCGGCCACAGUUUCUAUCGUGUUUGGAUGAGAGUCACGUAGGGCUAACUUUUUGUGAAGGGACAUUUGGAUCGUGAUCCAUUACCAUCUUUAGUUGUGGUUUUCUAGUGAUUUAGUUUGUGGUUGAGGUGCUCAAGAAGUUUAGGUCAUGUUUCAUCAUUUGACGCCUUUGUUGUUGGUUUAUGUGUGUGCCUGCAAGACACAAGGGGAUCAGAGGUUUACCUUAACGCUUUUAUGUAGACUCACCGUGCUCGUUACCAGCCUAGGAAGGUGCUUGACGAGGGGUUGACCAUCGUGUGCGAGUUUGUCGUGUACACGGUCUGCUACAAGACUAUUAAAUUUAAUACUCCCUCCGUUUCUUUUUAUUAGUCGCUGGAUAGUGCAAAAUUGCACUAUCCAGCGACUAAUAAAAAGAAACGGAGGGAGUACUGUAUUAUUCCCACUUGGUAGCCCAAUCAAAUACUCUGGUUUGUACGAACUACGAUGACAUUGGCUUAGCCGAAAGCGAGAGCCAACCGCUCAGUCGUCUGGACUCGAGAAGUGGUCAGCGACGGUGGCCACGACUUGCGCGUUGUCACCGGAAAAUGUGAAUAUAUUUAGCUCCCCGUCUAACCAAAGGCAAACGCGAAGCCACAAAGCCAUGGAUGCUCCGCUGAGAGGCAAGAGCACGGCAAGGGCAGCAUGGCGGCGACCAGCCGUCUCCUGCCUCCUGUUCGUUUUUGUUUUGGUGCUAUUGAUCUCUACGACGGCGACAGCGACGGCUACGACAGUUCAGUCGCGGCAGGCGGGGCUCACCUCUCGCCAAAGAGGUAUGCAUGAUCGAUGGGCUUUUCUAAUUGAUCUCUGCCCCCAUGUCGGUCGAUUCGAUCGUCUUCCUCGAUCAACGCUGUCUCGUCUCGAUCUGUAAUUUCUUCACAUGACUUUUGUUUUCUCCUGGCCCACACGCUUCUGGAUUGAAACUGAGUUGAACCGUGAGGAGGUGCAUGCAUGCAUGCAGGCUCUGGAUUCCGGGCGUGGCGGAGGGAUGUGCUGAGGCCGGACAGGACGGCCGGCGAAGCUUGGGCGCCGCCGGCGCCCAAGGCCAACAGCAACGUCCCAGGAGGGCCCUUCGGUCGUCGUUGACUCAUCCAGAUCCAGUCGCACCCGCCCAAUCGCCAUCGUUUCAUGACACAUCGACCAGAAGAUAGCUAGCAAUUCCCAUCUCACUGGUGUGUGUUAUUUUAGCUUCUUUUAACGAUGAAGAACUAGUGGCGAUGAUUGAAAUAAUACAACUUAUUGCAUCGAAAAUUAAGAACGAUGUGCGUUGAGGAUUGUGUUUCGUAUGUACCAUUUCGCAUGGCGUUUAUUCUUGCUUCAUACCUGCGAGGAUUUAUGUGUUAUGCUUGCAGCAAUGCAAACUACAUGCAGCUUGCUUGCACGCAAAAGAACAAUGCACUAUAUAUGGAUUUUUUUUUGUACUCCAUCCAUCUGAUUGGGUUAAUUCGCUGGUCAAUUUAAUUCCUUCUCUGGACUCAUAAAUUAAUUUUUUUUUUGAAAGACGACUCAUAAAUCAAUCGAUAGCCCGGUAAUUGUUUUCCCCUCGUUUUAGUAUAAAUCCAGCAUUGGUUCCACACUUUGUGUCUUUGUUCCAAAAUGCCACACGAAUAUUUUUAUCCCCAAGUCUGCCUGUUCCCAGUGGCGUAGCUGCUGGGUGGUUCGGAUGGACAUGGACCAUGGCAUACUCUAUGGGUCGGCCCAUCGAACCACCAGCCCACCAAAUCCAGCAAAAAAACACAGUGUAUGUGCAGACUAGCUCUAGCAGCGGUACAAGCUUAGGCUUCAAGUAACAUGCAAUAGAGCACCAAUAAAAUAAAAACAACAGCACCGUAGUGUUACGUGGGUACAUCCUAUCAUUAUAAAUUAUACUAAAUUAUUUAUGAAAAUUUUAUUGUGACAUACCUUAUAAAAAAAUUAUAGCUACGCUACUGAUUGCUCCUUGACCCUUGAGACACUUAGACCUUUUUAGUAGCCACCAUGAUUUGUCUAGUUAAUUUUAUAAACAUGGGGAACCUACCGUUAGUAUGGACAAGUCCGGAUCAAUCACACAAGUAAAAACCUCUAUAUCUACAAGUACUAUAUAUCAACCACGCAUGCAUGCAUAUGGGCAAAAGCUUCCAAAAGCUGAAGGUAAGCUAAAGUUACCCUAAACUAUGACGUGCGUCUUUCUUUCAAGCAACGAGCACACACAAAAUGGGGGUAUGUGCAAGGAAGGCAAUGGGUAUGGGUAUGAGUAAAUAAUUCCGGAUAAUUAUCUAUUGGAUAUGUGUAUGGUGAAAUUUAGUAUCCACGAGUAUAGUUAUGGAUAUAAUAAGGUAUCCGUGGAUAAUUUUUUCGCGGGUACGGAUAUCCAGUAUACAUACCCGUUACCCAAUGGAUAUCUGAUAUGUGGGUCAUCUGGAGUUAAUAUAUUAUUCUAAAUUCUUAUUUUUCAAUUUUUAUCCACGACAUGUUGUUUGGUGCUGAAAUUAUCAUUUGAUGCUGCUGAAAUGAUAAUUGUUUUGAAAUGUGAUAAAUUGUUGUUUGAUGUUGAAUGUUAAAAUUGUAGUGGGCGAGCGGGUAACGGGUAUCCGCCGGGCGGGUACGAGUAUGGGUAGAGAUCCAUACCUACGAACGUUUAUGUGUACGGGUAUGUGCUGAGUUUUAUCUCGCGAUAUGGAUUCACACACUAUAUAUCUAUGUAUUACCCACCUAAUUGCCAUCCCUAGGUAUGUGAUGACAGACUCUGAUCCGACGGUGACUGCAGGGCGAGGUAGAGAGGAUGAUUUCCUACAUACUUAGACUCUCUUCAAUGGUUCCCGCGACCAUUCCCCUCCCCUUGCAGUGGUGGCUACAAGGGCACCUCUUUCCCCACAUCGCUGCCCCCUUCCCCUCACUCUACGUAGCUGAUAUCGUCUCUCUCUCCUCAGAUGCAAGGGAACACUGUUUAUCCCCUAUGACACUGUGUUGUGGGUCCACGAGUAAUUGUUAGUAGAUAAAAAAUUGAUAGUAGAUAUAGAAAAUGAUAUUUAUAGUUGUAGUGGGGUAUAAGGAGAGUAUUUAGGGGGAACCGUUGCGGGAAAUGAAAAAAUAGAGAUGAAAUAUUGAUGACGUGACACAAAAAAAAGUGAUAUAGGGAAAAAAUUUAGGGAAAACCGCUGAACACAGUCUCAGCAUGGUCGAAGCUGAUGAAGUGAAAGAAAGACAGCAGAUGUCCUGCUAGUGAAACAGGCUCUUCAUGCUGGCAACCAAGCAGGUUCUGCUCGGCUAUGGGAAGCCUAGCGGAGGAGUUGCAGUACGUUUUUGGUGAAUAUAAAUUUUAGUUUCUCUCUGUGUGCUUCUCAAUUUCUAAUCCGAAACAUUCCGCUUAUCAUCAUCGAUCAAUAACUUCAGUUUCUCCUUUCAACUUAGAUCCAACUUAAAGGUAUUUAAAUGCACUAGAGCUAAUAGUUAGUAGCUAAAAUUAGUUAAGACAUCCAAACCUUAUAGCUAAUAGUUCAAUUAUUAGCUAUUUUUGAUAAUUUAGUUAAUAGUUAGGUAGCUAUUUGUUAGUUAGCUAAUUCCACUAAAAAAUUAGUUAACUAACUAUUAGGGCAUUCAAACAUCCUCUUAGUUCUACGCCCCACUUUCUCACACGAUCUCACACGAGUGUGUCACAUAAAUAUCAAAAACAUAUAUUUACACGCAUACAUUACGGCCAAAUCAAGUAAAUCAUUUUGCAAUGUCAAUGUCAACCAUCCACAAUGUUCCAACGUCAAACUAGCUCAAUAUUUUCAUCACACACGGAUCGCACGGUCUAAGAUAUCAAGAAGUACAAGUCCAAAUACAAAGAUACAAACGGAAAUGAAGUCACCAAAAGUUACGACAAAAAGAUAGCUAAAUUGAAAGUGUCUCAUGAUUUUGAAUCUGGUCAAACCUAUAAAAAAUAUUUUACUUUUAAAGUGGCCCCCAACAUGUUUACCGAUCCAACAAGUGUUCAACUUCACGCAUGAAAACUUGCAUGCGUACUCCUUUGUGUCAAACGUUAAGGUCCUAUUUGCAAGUAAAGUAUUUUUAUAGUUUUUAAGCGAUACUAUGGUUUGUUGUAAUAUUAUUAUAGUAUUUUAUGAUAUAAGGUGUUUGGUUGUAUUCCUGAAAACUAUAUUUUCAAAAGCAUGGUAUUCUAGAUACUAUGGUAUUUUUGAAGUAUUAAAAACUCCACUCUAAACUAAAGUUUUCAUGGCAUGAUAAGCCUUUUGUCUAAAACAUGAUUUACAAUGUUGUACGCAAAUAAUAUUUAACAAAACCAUGGUAUUUUUGAGGUGACCAAAACUACGGUACUAUUAUGAUAUAGUAUUGUUAAACCAUGAUUCUGAAAAAAAAAAUUCUAAAUAGGCCCUAAGUGAUGAUAUCCCGGCCGUAAAAAGGACUAAGGUAUUCCAACAUAUAUAUUUAUUCGUGUCAACGACUUUUCAUUGUUGGUUUGUGUGCAAAUCAAAUUUGGUUUGGUCCUUGGAUCCAUCUAUAUAUGUUUGGUGAAUGAUUUGAAGUAGGAGAUAGUAAAUAGUAGUGUGUGAUGUGCUGGAACGACUACUCAUGAGGGUUUAUAUAUAGAUAAAAUAUUUAUUUAUUUACUAUGAAUGGUUGAAAACGAAAACAUUUUUUUGGAAAAUCUUUUUUCCAUGUAUUUUUAACUGUUGUUACUGCUCUAGCCUCCUACGACUUCGCUACUUUAAUUUGAAUGUCGCACCAACUACGACCGAUCUUAAAUUUUGAUAUUUCAUAAGAAAACGACUUAAAUACAGAAUAAAUAUAUGGUAGCGCAUUUAUAUGGCAUUAUAUUCUUCAUGCAUACUCGUUUUCUUGUCUUAUAAAUAGAAUAGGUAGCUUCUUCAUCGAGCGUGCAUAAGAGAAGAAUAGAUCGACCAUAAGAAUUUUAUAGGAGAUAGCAAGCGGUUAAGAAGUUGUGGGGAUGGGAUGCAAUGGGAAAUUUAUUUGAAGAUCCGGUUUGCAAGAGAAAUCAAAUCAGAUUUUUCUAGCGAGAAGGAUCUGAGCUAGUUGGAAAAUUGACUUUGUUCUCGGUUCUUAGUUCUUUGUUGUACAGUUAUCAAUCAAGAAGUCUAUUGACUCCAUAUCAUCGCCUAGAGUCACAGACAGGGGCAGAGCCACCUCCAGGUAGUGUGGGCAUGCGCAUGAUGAGCUGGUUGGGCGGGUUGGCUGGGUAACGUCUCGCAUGUGAAAUGAUCGAAGAACACUCGGAAUCUCCAAUACAAUACCUCAUGAUGCCGUACACUUUUUAAAUACCAUCACGUGUUGUUGUGUGUCGAGGCCCAUCAUGCUUCAGUCAGCACUCAUCAUAGUUUGGCCCAAUCACGACACAGAGUAAAAAAUUAUAUAUAUCUAAAAAAUACAUCUUGAAAUUAAUUUAAAUUUUCACAAGGGAAAUAGAGAGCCUUUAAAAAUAGAUUGCUAUUACUAGCAACGUGACUCAAAAUUGCUACAUAUAUAUGUUUUUUAAUAAAACAUAUAUUCUAGUAAGAUGAAUACAAGUAUCAAUGUUUUCUAUAACUUUUGUGAAGAAAUAAAAAUUAUUGGAGUAUAAAAGAACCAUUUAAACAUUAGUUUUCCAAUUUGUGUCUCACAUCGUGUCGUAUCGGGCUAAGCACAAUUCGUCUAGUCCUGCCUAAGUUGAAGGCACAACACGUCUUUUUGUGUCUGAGUCAUGCUUUGGCUUCUUAUUUUUCGGGUCGUGCCUAUGCGGCCCUAAAUGACUCGUCCCAAACUUUUGGGUCUAGAGUGCAUAUGCACGUUGUUCUUUUCGCAAAUUUUGACAUUUGUUCAUAGACUAGCCCAUGCUCUUUAUGAAUCAUGAAUCCGCCACUAGUCACAGAGAUGGAAGCACGUGUCAUGCCUUUAACCGCCGGCUCAGACCUUGAUGGGAAGUUGAGAAGCGUGAAGCCAAACAUUUGCAAGUCAUAGAAGAAAUGGAAUACAUUCUUAAACCCAAUCUAAUUUCUGAAGUGACGAAGGUAGGGUUUGGUUUAGAGGGCGAGAAGACAUGGAAUGGAGUGAUCCCACUUCUAAUGGUGUUUUGGAUUAGGGACAAGAAGGACAGAGUCAUCACUCAUAUAGAAUAUACAUGGUGAGCAAAGUGGACUGCUUCCUCUUCAAUAUUUCUACCACAUCAUGCCUAUUGUAAACGGAAACAAAGCAAAAUUCUAGCACCAUAGCUAGCUUGCGAAGUUCCAAAGAAACCUGGCACUUGACCAAAUUUUAAUUUGUAGAAGACAAAAACAAAAUAGUGCAAUAGGAACCUACAACCAACAUGUGGAUUAGAAUCUUGAGGAGAAAGAUCACUACCACAGCCUAGAUUGAGGAAUUUGCAUCUCUUCAGAACCAUAUUCACAACGUCCAUUUUUCAGUCAAAUGAAAAAGAUAACAUCAAUUGGAAAUAGCCUGCAUGUGUCUGGGUAAUACAACACCAAUUUAGCAUACAAUACUUUAGUCUUGGUCUCCUAUCGACAAUAUAGAACAAACACCAAUUGGUGAGUAGCACAUGUAGAAAAUAAUUGUGAAACUUUUUACCUAGAUUCUCACCCAAAAACUUCCUCAUUGCGAAGGAUCGAAUCUGGCAAGUAGAGGGGGAUGAAUGGGAGCUAAUAAAAAUGCAAUCUUGAUUUGCUUCCCAAUUUUACAACCAACAUAACCAUCAAACUCCAAAUGAUAUGUAAGAAAUGUGGAAGCAACUAGUGGUUGUUGAAUGUUCUUGAUGAUAACUAGAGAACAUAAGAAAGUGCUCAAAUUGGCUAGAAAUGGAUUUGCUAGGACAAUCUUUUAAAACUAUAAAUUGAGCACUUAACCUCAAUAGAAAUGAAGAGAAUGAUCAAACCAAAAACAUAUCAACCAACUUGUGAUUGCAUGUUUUGAAAUUGUUCCUAUGAUAUACAUGAGUCCAACGAAAUAAAUGGAUCAUAAAACAGACACCAAAAAAACCGAAACGACCUAAAAUCGUAUCGAUUACUCACUCCGCUUUUAGCAACCCGAAAUUAAGUUGCAAAAUGCAAAAUUGGACCAAAUAGACUCCAAUUAACCUGAAAUUUUGCACACACCUUCGCACGAGAGUUUUAAAGGCACCUACAAAUUUUGAACUUAAAAAUUUAAAGUUAGAUAUGAAAAUACAAAUUUGAAUUGAGGUUUUCUGAAAAAUGGCUCAAGGGAAUGGAAAAUCACGCUCUAGGUGAAUCAACCUAUACCACUUGGUGGCUAUGAUUCUAAGAGGUUCUAACACAGUUCUAUUCAACCCAAAUGAGCCCAAGAACUUAUAUUUACAAAAUCCCUCAAAAACUUAAAGUAGAGGAAUAGAGAGGAGAAGACACAACUCAAGAUCAAACCCAUUAGAUUUGGCAUGAAUUCAGAAACCCAAAGGGAAAUGUGUGGUUACAUCCACGCUUUCUCAAAAUAGUAUGAACUUAGAUGUAAUGAUUCAAAGCAUCUAAGGAUAUCCUAACAAAAUGAGAAUACAAUGAAGAUUACAAGUAAAAUAUGUGCUAGAGAGAUGGUUGAAUGGUUCAUCUCUCCCCUCCUAUUUAUAGAGGGUUGUUCCUCUUUCAUAAAUUAUCCCUAGAUAUAAAAGUCUAUCCACUCAUCUAGGGGCAAAAUGGAUCAACUCUUGGAGUUUUGAUCAUAAGACCACACACUCUUUAUGAAGUUGCUUCGCCUACACGCACCCUCCGCAAUGAUGUUGCGUGUUGCCUCCAAUUCCCUCUAAUACCGUGUCGUCGAGUUUUGAGGCCCAAGCUAAAUGAAAUUUGUGAACUAUCACACUGGGAGGUUUUCAUACUCAACCACUAAAACACUCACAAGUACCAUACUCCAUAUACAUCCCCACGUCCUGGACACGACUCAUGUUGGUCCAUAAUGGUGUCAGCGACACGAUCCGCUCCUUUAUGCCAUUACGCCUGUCAGCGUCCCUAGGUUUCAGUAACCAUAACUAAUCACUCGGCUUCUCUAAUCCCUCAGUCAAGACUCAACACUCAUCCUUCACCACUCAUGGUCCAUCGGCAUGAAAUCGCAUAACCUUCAUCUUAGCCAUCAACCACUGUCUCAAGACUCCACACCUGUGGGGGACAGAUAUCCCCGGGUCCACUAGAAGGCGAAAACCCUUGCAUGGGGCCAUGGACCAGUCGCUUCACAAGGUCGUCUUGUCGUGGGCCAGACAAAAACUACAAUUGAAAUGGUCCGACCCAAGAAGGCAGUGGGCUCGUGCCCGGAUCGUCCGUGGAUUAUGCCUAAUCUUAAGGGAACCGUCCGUUUUUCCCGCGCCCGGCACCCUCAAAGGCCAGAGAUAGAUCGGGAUGAAGUGGACAGGUAUUUCUUUAAGAUAAGCUAAGUUAGUUCGUUAUUAAUUAGGAGAUAUGAUGGAAGAAUGUGAUCAUCGUGUGCGUAGGGAGUGUCCCACGUUCGUGUAUAUAAGGCCCAGGGGGACCCCUUCAUUUCAGAUCAUUCGCACCACUCCAUUCGGGAAACACCACUUGUAAACACACCACGCAUACAAAGCCACCCCAGAAAGUAGGAUAUUACGCCUCUCAAAGCGGCCUGAACCUGCAGAAAAUCGCUCGUCUCUCUCUCUCUCUCUCUCGUGCACCUAUCACAAACCAUCGAGCUAUGAUCAACAAUGCCGUCCUACCCAAAAGCACCACGAGGGUAUCCCCGAGUGUGCGGUCGGACACUAGACACCGAAAGUUGGCGCGCCAGGUAGGGGGUGUGUCGUUGAUCAAAGUUAGCUCAAUGGACAUCACCUUCAAGAACAAGAUCACUCUCAGCCCAGGGGCUAUGUUCCGCUUCGGAACCAUCUCAUGCAAAGCAAACGAAGAAGGGACUCUACACCGCGUAGCGGAUCCACCCGAGAAGAAGCCUUCCUCGGGAGUCCCGAGAGAAGCCAAAGCAAGACUACAGACAGCACCCCCGCUCACAGCUCGGGGCAAGAUGGUCCCUUGCAGACUGGGAUUCAGGAUCCCUCGAGAGAAGGAAGACCGAUCAGUCGGGGCUUCACUAACCCGAAAAACUCCGUUGUCCACCUCUCCCACUAAGGAGUGGACACGGAUCACUCAGAAGAAGGAAGUAAACAUCCCGAGUCCGGGAAGGAGAGCACGUCAAGCCACCUUUCCGAUACCUCUGCCCUCAAAGGAGGAUUGGAAGAAGAACACCGUCGUUGUAAAACCCAAAAAUUUGUAUAAGGUAAAAAAACAAACAUCAAAAUAAGUGCUCUUGAUAAAUAAUUGAAAUUUAGAGUUCACCCUCUCUAAAGCAAAUUAUUAUAAUGGAAUAAUAUUAGCUAAAUCAUAUCUUAAUAAAGAUUAGACACUUGAAAAAUGUUUCCUAUCAAACCAAAGGAAAAUGAAUUUUUGGGUUAUAGCUUUUAAAAUUAUUUAAUACACUCAAAAUAAUAUGGUGUGUGUGUUUCAUUACCCAAAUAAAAUGAUAAUAAUAAAUAAAGUAAUUAAAUAAAUAUAUUAAGGUAAUGAGUGCCUAUCGUACUAUUUUUUCAAAAACAAGAAAUGAAGGUUUGAAAUUCAAACAUGAGUAUGUUUUGGAAUUGGAAUAAAAAAAUCAGAAGAAAAUAAAAAGAGAAACUCACCCACUAACCUGGGCCGAAUCCCCCUCCUUCAGCCCACCUAACGGCUAAUUCGCGCCCGUCGGCCCACUACUGACUUUUCCCCCGGUCAGCCUGCUUCUCUCCUCUAGUUUCACUGACGGCUGGGUCCCACCCGCCAGAAGCUUCUUCACCAAAUCAACGGUGGCGUACUCUGAAGUCUGAACACGCGCGACAGGCGCUUGGGCGAUGAAUGUGGCGUGCCCGUGAUGCACAGAAAUCGCUACCGCGACUUCCUUCGGUGCGAAAAUAGGACAGCGACAUCACCGGAUAACAAACCUUUCCUCUUUCCCCGUGAUCUGAUCCGGUAUCCUUCCUCCCCGUACCAAUCGGGAUUUCAGUUCCCGACAGCGGGCGGAACAUGGCCGCCAUUAUCGGGUCCCCGUGAACCGCGCCAUGGCUAAUGCGGAGAGAGAUAAGAUGGAGAGGGUCCGCCUUGUGCUCGUCGGAUUGCCGAGAGAUUGAGAGAGAGAACGUUGUGGUUCGUGCGGCUGGCGCAUGGACCUGCCUUGACUACGGCACCUUCUCCGCGAAUUCGUUGCAACAGCGCGCGCAAUCGUGGGGGUCUGUUGGGAUUCGCCCUCCUCGCAUCCGGAUCGUGAGUUCGUUCAUCAACCAACCCCCUACCCCUAUAUAACCAUCAGGCCAUGAUUCCUUGCCUCCCAGCUCAGUCUCCAUCAUCUUCUAGGCAGAGCGAGCCGAGAAGGGAGAAAGGAGUUCUGCCCCGUUGUGUGUUGUAGGAAACGGGUGACGCCUAAGAGGGGGGGUGAAUUAGGACUUCUAAAACUUUUACUAAACUAGGCCAUAAUUAAAUCCCUAGAGCAAAACCUAUGCAAAUAAUCAAAACUAGAAUGUGCAAACUCGGUUUUGUCUAAGUGUUGCUGUCUCUACCGCAAAGGCUAAGUUUCAAUCUACACUAAAUAAGUAUGACAAUAAGAUUGAAACUUAAAUGCUUAAUAUAAAUGCGGAAUGUAAAGAGCUAAGUAGAGAAGCAAACUCUCGUGGAAGACGCCGGUAUUUUUACCGAGGUAUCCGGAACCACGCAAGGUCCCGACUAAUCCUCGUUGGUGCCCCUACGCAAAGGGAAGCCCACGCGAGGGCCAAGCACCACGGUCGAGUAACUCCGUAGAGAGCCGCGGGCCUUCUCCACGCGCCAGUGGUGCUCCGCUUCCGGCUCGUCUCGGACGCUCCCCGCUGUCUCCACUAUCGAGCUUCCGGCCGAAACGCCGCGGGCCUCGUUCCCUCCGGUACACGGUGGCGGCCGUGACACAAACGCGGUUGUCACGGUCUCGCAAGACUCUCGCCCCACUCGGUACAAUUACAAUGGCCCACGCAAGAGCCGAGGGGUUAUGUGGUUUGUCUAAACUCACUCAACAAACUAGGAUUCACCUAGAGCAAGCGCUAAUGCGGUCUAACUAACCUAAGCACUUCGCAAAGCACCUACGCUAAUCACCGAGUGAUUCUAUUAAGCACUUGGGUGUUUGAGCACUUGGAAAUGUCUACAAUAUGCCUUGGUAUGUUGCUUGGGCUCCCACACCUUCAAAUGGUUGAUUGGAUGAAGUAUAUAUAGGCCCCAACUCAACUAGCCGUUGGAAAGCAGACUGUUGUAAGGGUGGCACACCGGACAGUCCUGUCAGCCAACGGUGCGCCAACUGUGUGCCAACGGUGCGCCAACGGUGAGCCAACGGUGCGCCAACGGUGCGCCAACAGUGUGCCAACGUUGUGCAGCCAACGGCUAGUUCUGACACACCGGACAGUCCUGUCAGCCAACGGUGCGCCAACUGUGUGCCAACAGUGCGCCAACGGUGAGCCAACGGUGCGCCAACAGUGCGCCAACGCUGUGCAGCCAACGGCUAGUUCUGACACACCGGACAGUCCGGUGCACCAACUGUGUGCCAACGGUGAGCCAACUGUGUGCCACCGGUGAGCCAACUGUGUGCCACCGGUGCACAGCCAACGGCUAGUUCUGAGCUAGCCGUUAGGUGCACCGGACAGUGAAUAGUGACUGUCCGGUGCACACCGGACAGUCCGGUGCCUUCUCUCAGAAAACUCUGUUGGCUGUACUGUGCGCCAAUUGUGUGCCACCGGUGAGCCAACUGUGUGCCACCGGUGCGCCAACUGUGCGCCACCGGUGAGCCAACUGUGUGCCACCGGUGAGCCAACUGUGUGCCACCGGUGCGCCAGCUGACAGCCCAUCUUCUAGGUCUUCGCUGAUUUCUUCGGGCUUCUUUUGUUCUUGAGUAUUGGACUCCUAUGCAUCUUUUUAUGUCUUCUUUUGAGGUGUUGCAUCCUCAUUGCCUUGGUCCAAUUCUCUUCGCAUCCUGUAAACUAUAAUUAUAAACACUAGCAAACAUAUUAGUCCACAAGUUGUGUUAAUCAUCAAACACCAAAACUCAAUUAGCCAAAUGGCCCGGGGUCCAUUUUCCUUACAAUCUCCCCCUUUUUGGUGAUUGAUGACAACACAACCAAAGCAAGCAAAUAAUACAAGUAUUUGAAUUAAAAUGUGCAAUCUACUUGCUAAGAUGCAUGAUUGUCCCCACAAUGUGAUAUUAUGGACUUAAGCCUCCCCCUAACUCCAUAAUUCACUUACUUCCUAUUUUUGGACCAAAUAACCAAAACCACUUGAAAAGCCAUUUGUAGAUAUAAAAUUUUAAAUUGGUGGUGUUUGGUGUUUGAUAAAGUUUUCAUUGCUUUGGUCCCUAAACUUCUCCCCCUUUGGCAUCAACCACCGAAAAGGAAGACAUUAAAAGCAUGUAGGAAGUAAAUAAAAGCUUGCCCUCAACAAGAAUUGUAUCAAAUGAUAUCACUAGAAGGAUAUUAAAAUAAACCAUAUGAAUGAUACCAGUUGAAAGGAACUCCCCCUAAAUGAGUGUUCUCUUUAGAAAGAAGUUUCUCCCCCUUUUUUAGAGAUGAAGAAAUACUCCCCCUGACAGAGAUCCUCUACUUAGGAAAAAGCAUGUGAAAAAUUAGAGGUGCAAGACAUGGUUUGAAAAGACUAACUUCCCUUAUGCAUAGGUAACAGAAUAUGAGUUAACUACUUAUGCAUUUUUAGCAACAUGGAAGCAUAUGAUAUGAAAUAUAGUCUAAUCAAAUAUUGGAGAAGACAUGUAAAUGAUACUGAAUGUAGUCUCAAAAGAUACCAAUUGAAGAUCAAUGGCGAGCUUGAGAGACAUGAGAGUUCUUGGAGAUUUCGCAGUGGAAGAUUGUUGUCUUUCUCCGGGGACUUCAUUUUCCUUACAAUGAGACUAUCACAUGAAAUAGACUUGAAAAGGUGUUAGUCUCAAAGUGUUAGAUUAUAGAGUAACCUCCCUGAAAGGGAAAUGUGCCCUUGGGCCAUUUCUAAGUAUUUUUGGUGAUUGAAUGUCAACACAAGUGCUUAAAUGUGAAUCUAUGCCCAUGGAUGAACAAAGUGCAAAUCAAGAGCAAAGGUAUGUUUCUAAGUCUUAGUACAUUGGUUUUGUGUACUAAUAUACUUGUCUAAGUAUCAGAAACAGAAAGAAGAAGAAAAGAGAAGAGUUGGCUGUGUACAGCCAAGAGGCUGUUUCGGUCUGGAGCACCGGACUGUCCGGUGGUGCACCGGACAGUGUCCGGUGGUGCACCGGACAGUGUUCGGUGCGCCAGGCUGACUCGGCGUGAAGUGACCGCUCUCGGGAAUUUGCCGACGGCGUAUGGCUAAAAUUCACCGGACUGUCCGGUGUGCACCGGACUGUCCGGUGAGCCAACGGUCGGCCGGGCCAACGGUCGGCCGCGCGAUCUGCGCGGGACACGUGGCCGAGCCAACGGCCGGAAGGGGGCACCGGACAUGUCCGGUGCGCCAACGGCUCCCGCAUCUGCAACGGUCGGCUUCGCCAUUUAAGGAAGGAGAUCGGGCACCAGACAGUGUCCGGUGUACACCGGACUGUCCGAUGUGCCAGUCGACAGAAGGCAAGAUCAGCCUUCCUGGAUUGCUCUCAAUGGCUCCUAGCUGCCUUGGGGCUAUAAAAGGGACCCCUAGGCGCAUGGAGGAGUACAUCAAGUAUUCCUACAACAUUCCUAAGCACCAAGACAUCGAUUCCACGCAUUUGGUUCAUUGUGAUAGCAUCUAGAGCUCUUGUUGAGUUGUGAACUCAUUGAGUUGUGUUGCGAGCUCUUGUUGCGACUUGUGUGCGUGCUGUUGCUCUGAUUUUGAGUCUUGUGUGCGUUGCUAGUUUCUCCCUUACUCCGUAUUUCUUUGUGAAUCUUAAGUGUAAGGGCGAGAGGCUCCAAGUUGUGGAGAUUCCUCGCAAACGGGAUAUUGAAAGGCAAAGCAAAACACCGUGGUAUUCAAGUUGGUCUUUGGACCGCUUGAGAGGGGUUGAUUGCAACCCUCGUCCGUUGGGACGCCACAACGUGGAGUAGGCAAGCGUUGGUCUUGACCGAACCACGGGAUAAACCACUGUGUCAUCUCUGUGUUUGAUCUCUUGUGGUAUUGUGUUUUGUUGAGACUCCUCUCUAGCCACUUGGCAAUUAUUGUGCUAACACUUAACAAGUUUUUGUGGCUAUAAGUUUAAGUUUUCACAGGAUCACCUAUUCACCCCCCCUCUAGGUGCUCUCAAUUGGUAUCAGAGCCGUUCUCUUCACAAAGGGACUAACCGCCCGAAGAGAUGGAUCCUAAAGGGAAGGGAAUCGUGAUCAACGACAAGGAGAAGGAGUCCUUCGUCAACGAGCCAAGGGAUGACAAGUCCAACGACUCGGGCUCGGGCCACAGACGCAAAGAUGGGAAGAAGAAGACAAGACGCAUCAAGGAGAUCGUCUACUACGACAGCGAUGAGUCUACUUCCUCCCAAAAGGACGACGACCACAACGAAUACGAGAGAAAGAAACCGGUCAAUUCGAACUUUUCUUUUGAUUACUCUCGUAUUCCUCAAAGUACUAAUGCUCAUUUAUUAUCUAUUCCACUUGGUAAACCUCCUCAUUUUGAUGGAGAGGACUACGGAUUUUGGAGUCACAAAAUGCGUAGUCACUUGUUCUCUCUCCAUCCUAGCAUAUGGGAGAUUGUAGAAAAUGGAAUGCACUUUGAUAGUACGGAUAGUCCCAUGUUUAUUAAUGAACAGAUUCAUAAAAAUGCACAAGCUACUACUGUGUUGCUAGCCUCUUUGUGCAGGGACGAGUACCAUAAGGUGAGCGGCUUGGACAAUGCCAAGCAGAUCUGGGACACCCUCAAGAUCUCUCAUGAGGGGAACGAUGUCACCUUACUCACCAAGAUGGAGUUGGUGGAGGGCGAGCUUGGACGGUUCGCAAUGAUAAGGGGCGAGGAGCCAACUCAAACAUACAACCGGCUCAAGACCCUUAUCAACAAAAUAAGGAGCUACGGAAGCACGCGAUGGACGGAUCACGACGUCGUCCGCCUAAUGCUAAGGUCAUUUACCGUUCUUGAUCCUCAUUUGGUGAACAAUAUUCGUGAAAAUCCCAGGUACACCAAGAUGUCGCCCGAAGAAGUUCUUGGGAAAUUUGUCAGUGGGCGAAUGAUGAUCAAGGAGGCGAGGUACGUGGACGAUGCCUUGAAUGGUCCGAUCAACGAGCCGCAACCUCUUGCUCUCAAAGCAACACGAAGCAAGGAGGCGCUACCUAGCAAGGUGGCACAGUUUGAGGCGGCCGGACUUAAUGAUGAAGAGAUGGCUCUCAUCAUCAAAAGAUUCAAGACGGUGCUUAAAGGUCGCAAGGGACAGCCAAGCAAGACCAAAGCCAAGGGGAAGCGCUCAUGCUUCAAAUGCGGUAAGCUUGGUCAUUUUAUUGCUAACUGUCCCGACAAUGAUAGUGAUCAGGAUCAAGGGAACAAGAGGGAGAGAAAGAAGAACUAUAAGAAGGCAAAGGGCGAGGCUCAUCUUGGCAAGGAGUGGGAUUCGGACUGCUCUUCGUCCGACUCCGAUAAUGAAGGACUCGCCGCCACUGCCUUCAACAAGUCAUCCCUCUUCCCCAACGAGCGACACACUUGCCUCAUGGCAAGGGAGAAGAAAGUAAGCACUCAUAAUACUAGUACUUAUGCUUCUUCAAGUGAGGAUGAGUCUAGUGAUGAUGAUGAGAUAGAUUACUCAUGCUUAUUCAAGGGAUUAGAUAGAACCAAGGUAGACAAAAUUAAUGAAUUGAUUGAUGCCUUGAAUGAUAGGAAUAUACUUUUAGAAAAGCAAGAGGAUUUGUUGUAUGAAGAACAUGAUAAAUUUGUAGAAGCUCAGAAAUCUCUUGCUCUAGAAAUCAAGAGAAAUGAAAUGCUCUCUAGUGAACUAUCUUCUUGUCAUGAAACUAUUGCUAAGUUAAAGAGUUUUAAUGAUGAUUUAAAUGCUAGACUAGAAGUAGCUAGUAACUCUAAUUCUUGUGUAGAAAUUGUUGAAACUUGUAAUAGGUGUAAAGAUUUUGACAUUGAUACUUGUAGUGAACACCUAGUUUCAAUUUCCAAACUUAAUGAUGAAUUGGCUAGUCUUAAUGAUCAACUUAAGACUAGCAAGAGUAAAUUUGAUAAAUUAAAAUUUGCAAGGGAUGCCUAUUCGAUUGGUAGACAUCCCUCAAUUAAGGAUGGACUUGGCUACAAAAGGGAAGCCAAGAACUUGACAAGCCAUAAGGCUCCCAUCUCCGCCAAGGAGAAAGGGAAGGCCCCUAUGGCUAGUAGUGUGCAAAAGAACCAUGCCUUUAUGUACUAUGAUAGAAGACAACCUAGAAAUGCUUAUAGGAGUUGUAAUGCAUAUAAUGCCUUUGAUUCUCAUGCCAUGUUUGCUUCUAGCUCUUCGUAUGUGCAUGAUAGAAAUAUUGGUAGGAGAAAUGUUGUUCAUAAUAUGCCUAGGAGAAAUGUUGUUAAUGUUCCUAGGAAAGUAAAUGAACCUUCUACAAUAUAUCAUGCUUUGAAUGCUUCCUUUGCAAUUUGUAGAAAGGAUAGAAAGGUGAUUGCUAGGAAGUUAGGGGCAAAAUGCAAGGGUGAUAAAACUUGCAUUUGGAUCCCUAAGGAAAUUGUGACUAACCUUGUAGGACCCAACAAGAGUUGGGUACCUAAGUCCCAAGCCUAAAUUUGCCUUGCAGGUUUAUGCAUCCAGGGGUUCAAGCUGGAUUAUCGACAGCGGAUGCACAAACCAUAUGACGGGGGAGAAGAAGAUGUUCACCUCCUACGUCAAGAAUAAGAAUUCCCAAGAUUCAAUUAUAUUCGGUGAUGGGAAUCAAGGCAAGGUAAAAGGGUUAGGUAAAAUUGCAAUUUCUAAUGAGCACUCUAUCUCUAAUGUGUUUUUAGUAGAGUCUCUUGGAUAUAAUUUGUUAUCUGUUAGUCAAUUAUGCAAUAUGGGAUAUAACUGUCUAUUUACAAAUGUAGAUGUGUCUGUCUUUAGAAGAAGUGAUGGUUCACUAGCUUUUAAAGGUGUAUUAGACGGCAAGCUUUACUUAGUUGAUUUUGCAAAAGAAGAUGCCGGUCUAGAUGCAUGCUUAAUUGCUAAGACUAGCAUGGGCUGGCUGUGGCAUCGCCGCUUAGCACAUGUGGGGAUGAAGAACCUUCACAAGCUUCUAAAGGGAGAACACGUGAUAGGGUUGACUAACGUACAAUUCGAAAAAGAUAGACCUUGUGCAGCUUGUCAAGCAGGUAAACAGGUGGGAGGAGCGCAUCACAGCAAGAAUGUGAUGACCACUUCAAGACCCCUGGAGCUGCUGCAUAUGGACCUCUUUGGACCCGUCGCCUAUCUGAGCAUAGGGGGAAGUAAGUAUGGUCUAGUUAUUGUCGAUGACUUUCCCGCUUCACUUGGGUGUUCUUUUUGCAGGAUAAGUCUGAAACCCAAGGGACCCUCAAGCGCUUCCUUAGGAGAGCUCAAAAUGAAUUUGAGCUCAAGGUGAAGAAGAUAAGGAGCGACAAUGGAUCUGAGUUCAAGAAUCUUCAAGUGGAGGAGUUCCUUGAGGAGGAAGGGAUCAAGCACGAGUUCUCCGCUCCCUACACACCACAGCAAAAUGGUGUGGUAGAGAGGAAGAACAGGAUGCUAAUCGAUAUGGCGAGGACGAUGCUUGGAGAAUUCAAGACCCCCGAGUGUUUCUGGUCGGAAGCCGUAAACACGGCUUGCCACGCUAUCAACAGGGUCUACCUUCAUCGCCUCCUCAAGAAGACUUCGUAUGAGCUACUAACCGGUAACAAACCCAAUGUAUCUUACUUUCGUGUAUUUGGGAGCAAGUGCUACAUUCUAGUAAAGAAGGGUAGAAAUUCUAAAUUUGCUCCCAAAGCUGUAGAAGGGUUUUUGUUAGGUUAUGACUCAAAUACAAAGGCGUAUAGAGUCUUCAACAAAUCAUCGGGUUUGGUUGAAGUCUCUAGCGACGUUGUAUUUGAUGAGACUAAUGGCUCUCCAAGAGAGCAAGUUGUUGAUUGUGAUGAUGUAGAUGAAGAAGAUGUUCCGACGGCCGCUAUACGAACCAUGGCGAUUGGAGAAGUGCGGCCACAGGAACAAGAUGAACGAGAUCAACCUUCUUCCUCAACAACGGUGUAUCCCCCAACUCAAGACGAUGAACAGGUUCAUCAAAAGGAGGCGUGUGAUCAAGGGGGAGCAUAAGAUAAUCAUGUGUUGGAGGAAGAAGCGCAACCGGCACCUCCAACCCAAGUUCGAGCGAUGAUUCAAAGGGAUCAUCCCGUCGACCAAAUUCUGGGUGACAUUAGCAAGGGAGUAACUACUCGAUCUCGAUUAGUUAAUUUUUGUGAGCAUUACUCCUUUGUCUCUUCUAUUGAGCCUUUCAGGGUAGAGGAGGCCUUGCUAGAUCCGGACUGGGUGUUGGCCAUGCAGGAGGAGCUCAACAACUUCAAGCGCAAUGAAGUUUGGACACUGGUGCCUCGUCCGAAGCAAAAUGUUGUGGGAACCAAGUGGGUGUUCCGCAACAAACAGGACGAGCACGGGGUGGUGACAAGGAACAAGGCUCGACUUGUGGCAAAAGGUUAUGCCCAAGUCGCAGGUUUGGACUUUGAGGAGACGUUUGCUCCUGUGGCCAGGCUAGAAUCAAUUCGUAUCUUGCUAGCAUAUGCCGCUCACCAUUCUUUCAGGUUGUACCAAAUGGAUGUGAAGAGCGCUUUCCUCAACGGGCCAAUCAAGGAGGAGGUGUACGUGGAGCAACCCCCUGGGUUCGAGGAUGAACGGUACCCCGACCACGUGUGUAAGCUCUCUAAGGCGCUCUACGGACUUAAGCAAGCCCCAAGAGCAUGGUAUGAAUGCCUUAGAGACUUUCUAAUUGUUAAUGCUUUCAAGGUUGGGAAAGCCGAUCCAACUCUUUUUACUAAGACAUGUGAUGGUGAUUUGUUUGUGUGCCAAAUUCAUGUCGAUGACAUAAUAUUUGGUUCUACUAACCAAAAGUCUUGUGAAGAGUUUAGCAGGGUGAUGACGCAAAAAUUCGAGAUGUCGAUGAUGGGCGAGUUGAACUACUUCCUUGGGUUCCAAGUGAAGCAACUCAAGGACGGCACCUUCAUCUCCCAAACGAAGUACACGCAAGAUCUGCUAAAGCGGUUUGGGAUGAAGGACGCCAAGCCCGCAAAGACUCCGAUGGGGACCGACGGACACACCGACCUCAACAAAGGAGGUAAGUCCGUUGAUCAAAAAGCAUACCGGUCAAUGAUAGGGUCUUUACUUUAUUUAUGUGCUAGUAGACCGGAUAUUAUGCUUAGCGUAUGUAUGUGUGCUAGAUUUCAAUCCGAUCCUAAGGAGUGUCACUUAGUGGCGGUGAAGCGAAUUCUUAGAUAUUUGGUUGCUACGCCUUGCUUCGGGCUCUGGUAUCCAAAGGGGUCUACCUUUGACUUGGUUGGAUACUCAGACUCCGACUAUGCUGGAUGUAAGGUCGAUAGGAAGAGUACAUCGGGGACGUGCCAAUUCUUAGGAAGGUCCUGGUGUCAUGGAACUCUAAGAAACAAACUUCUGUUGCCCUAUCCACCGAUGAGGCCGAGUAUGUUGCCGCAGGACAGUGUUGCGCGCAACUACUUUGGAUGAGGCAAACCCUCAGGGACUUUGGCUACAAUCUGAGCAAAGUCCCACUCCUAUGUGACAAUGAGAGUGCUAUCCGCAUGGCGGAAAAUCUUGUUGAGCACAGCCGCACAAAGCACAUAGACAUUCGGCAUCACUUUCUGAGAGACCACCAGCAAAAGGGGGAUAUCGAAGUGUUUCAUGUUAGCACCGAGAACCAGCUAGCCGAUAUCUUUACCAAGCCUCUAGAUGAGAAGACCUUUUGCAGGCUGCGUAGUGAGCUAAAUGUCUUAGAUUCGCGGAACUUGGAUUGAAUUGUAGCAUACAUGUAUUUAUGCUUUUGAUCAUGUUCCUUUUUGCAUUUCGUUGCUUAGUAUGGUGCUCAAGUUGUACAAACACUCCCUGGACCUCACAAGUCCUGGUGCCAGUAAUGCACAUAUUUAGGGGGAGAUGUGUUACAACUUGACCCUUUGAGACUAACCGUUUGUUUGAGUUUGAUUGUUUUAGUCUCAAAGAAGGUUUGAAAGGGAAAGGUGGACUUGGACCGUGAAAGACUUCCACUGCACUCCGAUGAGAGGGUAACUUAUUCCAGGUUCAUCUUUUAACUCUUAUUGCCUAUUUGCUCUUAAUUGAAGAUUUUGGUGAGGCAAUGGGGUUAAAGGGCCAAGAUUGAUCCCGUUUUGGUGCUUGAUGCCAAAGGGGGAGAAAAUAAAGGCCAAAGCAAUAAAUGGAUCAGCUACCACUUGAGAAAUUUUGAAAAUAGUAAAGUAGAGCUUUUUGUUUUGUCAAAACUCUUGCAUUGUCUCUUUUGUCAAAAGUUGGCCUCUUGUGGGGAGAAGUGUUGAUUAUGGGAAAUAGGGGGAGUUUUUGUAAUCCUUGAUCAAUCUCUUUUGGAAUGACUCUAUUUAUGCUUCAACAUGUGUGUUUGACUUAGAGAUAGAGAUUUGAGUUUGAUUUGCAAAAACAAACCAAGUGGUGGCAAAGGAUGAUCCAUAUAUGCCAAUUUGAAUCAAAAUGAAUUUGAGUUUUUAUUUGAAGUGAUAUUGCACUUGUUCUAGUUGCUUUAUGAUGUGUUGGCAUAAAUCACCAAAAAGGGGGAGAUUGAAAGGGAAAUGUGCCCUUGGGCCAUUUCUAAGUAUUUUUGGUGAUUGAAUGUCAACACAAGUGCUUAAAUGUGAAUCUAUGCCCAUGGAUGAACAAAGUGCAAAUCAAGAGCAAAGGUAUGUUUCUAAGUCUUAGUACAUUGGUUUUGUGUACUAAUAUACUUGUCUAAGUAUCAGAAACAGAAAGAAGAAGAAAAGAGAAGAGUUGGCUGUGUACAGCCAAGAGGCUGUUUCGGUCUGGAGCACCGGACUGUCCGGUGGUGCACCGGACAGUGUCCGGUGGUGCACCGGACAGUGUCCGGUGGUGCACCGGACAGUGUCCGGUGCGCCAGGCUGACUCGGCGUGAAGUGGCCGCUCUCGGGAAUUUGCCGACGGCGUACGGCUAAAAUUCACCGGACUGUCCGGUGUGCACCGGACUGUCCGGUGAGCCAACGGUCGGCCGGGCCAACGGUCGGCCGCGCGAUCUGCGCGGGACACGUGGCCGAGCCAACGGUCGGAAGGGGGCACCGGACUGACCCGUGUGCACCGGACAUGUCCGGUGCGCCAACGGCUCCCGCAUCUGCAACGGUCGGCUUCGCCAUUUAAGGAAGGAGAUCGGGCACCGGACAGUGUCCGGUGUACACCGGACUGUCCGGUGUGCCAGUCGACAGAAGGCAAGAUCAGCCUUCCUGGAUUGCUCUCAACGGCUCCUAGCUGCCUUGGGGCUAUAAAAGGGACCCCUAGGCGCAUGGAGGAGUACAUCAAGUAUUCCUACAACAUUCCUAAGCACCAAGACAUCGAUUCCACGCAUUUGGUUCAUUGUGAUAGCAUCUAGAGCUCUUGUUGAGUUGUGAACUCAUUGAGUUGUGUUGCGAGCUCUUGUUGCGACUUGUGUGCGUGCUGUUGCUCUGAUUUUGAGUCUUGUGUGCGUUGCUAGUUUCUCCCUUACUCCGUAUUUCUUUGUGAAUCUUAAGUGUAAGGGCGAGAGGCUCCAAGUUGUGGAGAUUCCUCGCAAACGGGAUAUUGAAAGGCAAAGCAAAACACCGUGGUAUUCAAGUUGGUCUUUGGACCGCUUGAGAGGGGUUGAUUGCAACCCUCGUCCGUUGGGACGCCACAACGUGGAGUAGGCAAGCGUUGGUCUUGACCGAACCACGGGAUAAACCACUGUGUCAUCUCUAUGUUUGAUCUCUUGUGGUAUUGUGUUUUGUUGAGACUCCUCUCUAGCCACUUGGCAAUUAUUGUGCUAACACUUAACAAGUUUUUGUGGCUAUAAGUUUAAGUUUUCACAGGAUCACCUAUUCACCCCCCCUCUAGGUGCUCUCACUCCCCCUAAAGGUGUGCAUAUAAGUUUUGAAUACUUGUAGGAGACAUGCACUUUGAUUUGAUAUCAAGAGGGGCAAAUUAUCCAUAAUCCAAACUUUGGCACAUAUAAGUUAAAUGAUACACUUUGUAGAAAUCAAAAUUUUCAAUUGAUGCAUCAUUUACUAUGGAGUGAUAUAAAAGCUAUGUGCCGUGCUUUAACUAAACAUUUUAAGCCAUGUAGGUUUGCUUAAGUAUAUGAAUUUAAAAACUAGCAAUCCUACCAUAUGAUUUACCUAGUAUGCAUGAUUUUGAACAAAAGUACAUAACAAAUGUAAUACUAGGCAAGAAAGGUAAACUAGAUAAAAGAUAAAUAGAUACGCAUAUCUAAAAACGAGAAAUACAAUAAAACUAGUUACCUUAGUCAUGGGUGGGAAAUUUGGGUCCAAAAUUUUCACUAACCCACUUGGCAAUAAACUUGAUCCAAUAUGAUGUAUCCCAUGAUAUACAUCCCAAUUUAGCCAAGUCUCCAAAUUUCCCGAGGACCUUCGGUCCACUCACUUCCCUUUCGGGAUCCAAACCUUCUUGAUGCUUUUCAUGGUUGAAAUUAUCUCCUUUGGCACCCAGAUGCGUUUGGCCCCCUUUCCUUUGUUGGCUUGCUUGUUGGCCUUGAUUGCUAUCACCUUUCCAUUCUUUUUCUUCUUGAUCAAAUAUGGUGUAGCAUCCUUUUUGUUCACCUUUUUGAUGUAGGUGCUGGAGAUUUUGCUUGAUGGCUUUUGCUUGAGCUUUUGCCUUUGAUUAUCCCUGGUCAUCACCUUGCAUUGGAAAGACUUGUGGCCUUCCAUGUGGCAUAGCCUACAAAUCACAGUUUCUCCCUCUACAGGCUUGUUCACUCCCGCAGUGGUGUUAUCCUGUGGAGGUCGGAUUUGUUUGGCUUUGCCUUUCUUGUCAUACAAAGCCUUUCCAAGGCGAGCCACUUCUUGCUUUAAUUGUUCAUUUUCCUUUGCAACCUCAUCCGAACAUUUCUCUACAACAAUAUUCUCAACAACGACUUGGUUGCAGGAGUUAGAAUCAUCAAUUAAAUCAAAGCAGGAAGUAGAAGCAUCUCUCUUAAUUAUUUCAGGUAUUUCAACUAAAGAUGCUGCUGGGGUGCUACCAAUGUUUUCUAGCUUAGUAGUUAGCUCAUUAUUGUGUAUGCUAAGAAUUUCCAUUUUCUCUAGCAAAUUUUCAAUAGCUUCUUGGGAGCUAGCUAACUUAGCCUUAAGUUUUUCAUUCUUUUUAAUAAGGCUAUCAUCGGUAGCAGUGGAUGGAGCACUAGAUUCUAAUAGCUCAAUUUUAGUUGACAGCUCACUAUUUAAGUUUACAAAAGUUUCAAAUUUUUCUAGCAAACCUUUAUAAUCAUUUUGGGAGCUAAUCAACUUAUUUUUCAAAGUUUUAAGUUGAGUUUUUUGCUUAGUGCAAACAUCCUGGAAAAAUUCUACGGCUUCCGCAAGCUCAUCUAAAGAGGGCUUUCCCUCACCUUCAUCAUCACUACUACUUUCAUCACUAGAGGAUGGAAUGCUUUUGUUACCUCUUGCCAUAAGGCAUUUGUGUGAUGACCGUGAUGAGCGUGAUGAGGACCGGUGGCUACGCAUCCUUGGAGGUUCAUCUUCACUUGAAGAAUCAUUCCAAGUUCUAACACUUGUUAGCGCCUUGCCUUUGCUCCUCUCCUUUUUGGGUUUGGCCAUAUUUGGACAGUUGUCCCUGAAGUGGCCCUUCUCCCCACAUGCGAAGCAUCCUCUCUUCCUUUGCUUUUUCCUGUCAAUGUUAAAGAGAAGAUCCUCGACCUGCAGGGGCACACCCAUUAGAUUAAUCUUGCGGAUCAUCCUCAUUACCUUUCUGACGCGUCGGAUUGUUUCUUCGUCCUCGGAGGAUGAUGUGCAUGGCUGAUUAUCUUCAUCAUCAUCACUUUCUUCUUCUUCCUCUUCUUCGCUUGAGGAACUUGGAGUGGGAGCCUUCUUUUUGCCCUUCCUUUCAUCACAUGCAAAAGCAUAUGGUCUUGAGGAUGUUGGCUCCUCUCCCCGACUCAUUUUUCGCGACAUCUCAAAAGCCGCGAUUUUCCCAAUCACAAUGGUCGGGGUCAUGUUGCUCAAGUCCUCCAUGUUGUGAAGGAUGGUGAUGAUGCUCCCAUAUCUUUGUUGUGGUAGCAGGGAAAUAAUCUUCCUCACAAUGUCCGCAUCACCUAGCUUAUUAAUGCCAAUCGAAUUGAGCUCAUUGAUAAUUAGAUUCAAACGAGAAUACAUGUCUCUAACAAGCUCAUCAUCUUUCAUACCAAAAGAAUUAUAAUCAUUUAAGACAAGCCAAUGUUUUUGCUCACGGACAUUGGAUGUGCCGUCAUGGAGCUCAUGCAAUUUUAGCCAAAUCUCAUUAGCAGUUUUUAAGGUAAAUACUUGAUUAAAAAUAUCCAUGCUAAGAGAUUCAUACAAGCAAUUUUUGGCUCUAGCAUUUAAAUGAAUUUCUUUUUCCUCACUCGUGGUGGGUUUCUCGGGAUUCUUGAGGGGUUUCAUCUCGUCACGAGUGACUCUCCAAACACCUAGAUCAACAGCCUCUAGGUAACAAGCCAUUCUAGCACUAUAAUAUGGGAAGUUAGUGUCGUCGAAGUGUGGUGGCCUAUGGGUAUCCAUCCCUUCCUCCAAAAAGCGUCGGCUCUUUUAGCGGUGAAGCUAAAGCGUUUCAAAUGAGCUAAACCGGGCUCUGAUACCACUUGUAGGAAACGGGUGACGCCUAAGAGGGGGGUGAAUUAGGACUUCUAAAACUUUUACUAAACUAGGCCACAAUUAAAUCCCUAGAGCAAAACCUAUGCAAAUAAUCAAAACUAGAAUGUGCAAACUCGGUUUUGUCUAAGUGUUGCUGUCUCUACCGCAAAGGCUAAGUUUCAAUCUACACUAAAUAAGUAUGACAAUAAGAUUGAAACUUAAAUGCUUAAUAUAAAUGCGGAAUGUAAAGAGCUAAGUAGAGAAGCAAACUCUCAUGGAAGACGCCGGUAUUUUUACCGAGGUAUCCGGAACCACGCAAGGUCCCGACUAAUCCUCGUUGGUGCCCCUACGCAAAGGGAAGCCCACGCGAGGGCCAAGCACCACGGUCGAGUAACUCCGUAGAGAGCCGCGGGCCUUCUCCACGCGCCAGUGGUGCUCCGCUUCCGGCUCCUCUCGGACGCUCCCCGCCGUCUCCACUAUCGAGCUUCCGGCCGAAACGCCGCGGGCCUCGUUCCCUCCGGUACACGGUGGCGGCCGUGACACAAACGCGGUUGUCACGGUCUCGCAAGACUCUCGCCCCACUCGGUACAAUUACAAUGGCCCACGCAAGAGCCGAGGGGUUAUGUGGUUUGUCUAAACUCACUCAACAAACUAGGAUUCACCUAGAGCAAGCGCUAAUGCGGUCUAACUAACCUAAGCACUUCGCAAAGCACCUACGCUAAUCACCGAGUGAUUUUAUUAAGCACUUGGGUGUUUGAGCACUUGGAAAUGUCUACAAUAUGCCUUGGUAUGUUGCUUGGGCUCCCACACCUUCAAAUGGUUGAUUGGAUGAAGUAUAUAUAGGCCCCAACUCAACUAGCCGUUGGAAAGCAGACUGUUGUAAGGGUGGCACACCGGACAGUCCUGUCAGCCAACGGUGCGCCAACUGUGUGCCAACGGUGCGCCAACGGUGAGCCAACGGUGCGCCAACGGUGCGCCAACAGUGUGCCAACGCUGUGCAGCCAACGGCUAGUUCUGACACACCGGACAGUCCUGUCAGCCAACGGUGCGCCAACUGUGUGCCAACAGUGCGCCAACGGUGAGCCAACGGUGCGCCAACAGUGCGCCAACGCUGUGCAGCCAACGACUAGUUCUGACACACCGGACAGUCCGGUGCACCAACUGUGUGCCAACGGUGAGCCAACUGUGUGCCACCGGUGAGCCAACUGUGUGCCACCGGUGCACAGCCAACGGCUAGUUCUGAGCUAGCCGUUAGGUGCACCGGACAGUGAAUAGUGACUGUCCGGUGCACACCGGACAGUCCGGUGCCUUCUCUCAGAAAACUCUGUUUGGCUGUCCUGUGCGCCAACUGUGUGCCACCGGUGAGCCAACUGUGUGCCACCGGUGCGCCAACUGUGCGCCACCGGUGAGCCAACUGUGUGCCACCGGUGAGCCAACUGUGUGCCACCGGUGCGCCAGCUGACAGCCCAUCUUCUAGGUCUUCGCUGAUUUCUUCGGGCUUCUUUUGUUCUCGAGUAUUGGACUCCUAUGCAUCUUUUUAUGUCUUCUUUUGAGGUGUUGCAUCCUCAUUGCCUUGGUCCAAUUCUCUUCGCAUCCUGUGAACUAUAAUUAUAAACACUAGCAAACAUAUUAGUUCACAAGUUGUGUUAAUCAUCAAACACCAAAACUCAAUUAGCCAAAUGGCCCGGGGUCCAUUUUCCUUACAGUGUGUAAAGGGGGUCACCGGCGCGGAACCAGGGCCCUGCUGCCCCCAUAGCCUUCGGGACGCAACCUGGGAUGAUCUCCGGUGCUUGUGGCGUCUGUUCGCGGCAUUGGAGGAAUCUCCAGAGUUUUGGUAAUUGCUUGAUAGUGAGCUCCUCCGCUGUUUCGUCAUGGUGUGCCAUGGGUGGGGUCCUCCGCGUUGCACCCUUCGGUAAGGACCUCCCUUCUGUGCAUUAGCGUUGACUCUAGCUUUGAGUGGAUUUAUCGACGGGGCAGGGUAGGGCGUCUGCUUGUGGUCUUGGCACCGCGGGCCAGUUUUUUGCGAUUGCCUGUGCCGUGGUUGCGUCUGCCGGUUCGGCGCGCGAUUGGUCCCUGGUCUGGGCGGCGCAAGGAAGAAGAACAUGCCCUUGCCGUCGGAUCGAGAUGGAUGGUCGAGAUUGAAACAGCCAUACCCUUUCGCUCCAAGAAACCGUGUUCGUGGAUGACGAAAUCGACGGUGUAGAUUAGGUCUGGAUUUACCCCUUCGCGCGAUCUGAUCUGGACCUUCAGAAUCUGAUCGGGCGGCUCACGAGUAGCCAUACCCCUUUGGGCAAGAUAUUUUGCUAAAGAGUCCCUAGUGUUUUGUGGAAUCAACCCGCCGUCCGCUAUAGAUCUAAGAACAUUACAUAUGGGCCCUGUUUUUUAACAGUUUAAACCCUAUCUGUCCAACGAUUUGUGCCCAAGGUCCUCAGGUCGCCAGUAAACUAGAAGUUAAUUCGAAAACAGUUUUCAGUCGACAAAUAAAUCCAAACAAAUUUGUAUAAUCCAUAACUUUCUCAUUUUAAGUCUGUUUCAACCCGUUCAAAUUGCGUUAGUCUUUUAAUAAAAUUGUCUACGCAGUAACAGUAUUAAUUAUACCAUAUUGCAUAAUUUUAUAAUUAAAUAUUUAUUUACCCUACGUCUACUAGAUGAGCUCUUCUAAAAUCAAAGCUAACCGGGCCAUAAUUAUAAUUUGAUUAAAAUAUGGUCUCUAGUCAAGUUAUAAUUAAAAAUUAAAGUUGAGUUAAUUACUUAUAUAAUACUCUUAUCACAUGAUCUAUAUUAAUCAACAGGGGAUUAUAAACUCACUAAAAUCAAUCUAUAAAUGAAUAUAGUAUAAAAUAAAUAUACUAAUCUUGUAAAAUCCCUAUCUCCUUUGUUUUAGCUCCGAAUUAAUUAAUUCCAGUCGCAUUAGUUUCAUAUUAAUAUUGUUCUUCGUCUAGUAACCUUAUUUUAUCAUGAAACCUAUGAUUAAUAUUGUACACUUAGUUUCUUUAUGUCAUGCACUUAAAACUUCAUAAAACCAUAACUUCAUAACCGUAGAUCCGAAAUCAGUGAUUAUCGAGCCCACGAUCUCGUAGCAAUGCGUAGAUUAUUAUUACGCAAUUUGUACUUAUGUUUGGUGUAAUGUUAAUUUUGCCUAUACAAUGUUUGUUUGUAUUGCUACGACUAGAGUGAGGACACGUGUCAUCUGAAGAGCAAGUUGGUACCUGGAAUCUCAAGUCCCAGGCAAGUUGUGCCCUUGAUCACUUCUUUUUACCCACUCAUGUUAUAAUUAAUCAUAAUGAUCUGCAUAGGUUAAUUUUGAUGGGACCCAAUAGGUUACCCUAGUUUGAUUAUCUUUAUACCUUGUUUACCACUGAACUUUUUGGGUAGUACUUGAUAGUGCUUUAUGUGGUUUUGGGUAUGAAGAUACAUUAUUCAUGAUUAUACUUUUGUUAUCCGUUGUUAUUUACUGUUCAUGAUAAGAUCAUUAUGUUAAUUGGAACAUGGAGCGACCACCCGGGAAAACAGUGCUACCACAAGGGUUUAUGGACGCCCUUGGCUGAUUAAUUAGGAAAGCUAGUGGAGGACUACCUUACCCGAAAGGGGCAAGGGCAGUAGGGGAGUGGUCAGUGUAGGGAGGUCCUUGGUUGAUUUUGCUGCGAUGGCGGUCAGGCAAGAACCCUGCAUUGGAGCUUCCUAUAAACUGUAGCGGGUUUUCUGAAGCUAGUGGAACUUUGUAAAGGCCUCGUAGUGUUACCCUGCCUCGCCUCCUCGGUAGAGGUGUAUGGGAAGUCGCGAUCCUUUGGCAGAUGGGUAACAUGACUUGUGGGUAAAGAUGCGCAACCUCUGCAGAGUGUAAAACUGGUAUACUAGCCGUGCUCACGGUCAUGAGCAGCUCGGACCCUCACAUGAUUAAUUUAUGGAACUAAAAUUCAAUAUGUCAUAUGCAUUGCAUCGCAGGUGAUGUUGUUACUUUGGUUCUAUUACUUAAUUGGGUUGGUAUUUACUUAUACUUAGUAAUUGCUAAUAAAAUUUUGACCAACUUUAAAAGCAAUGCUCAACUCUAACCAUCCUCUUUGGUAAGCCUUACACUUCACAUGAACUUCCACCUUUGGCGAGUUCAUUCACAUUAUUUCCCACAACUUGUUGAGCGAUGAACGUAUGUGAGCUCACUCUUGCUGUCUCACACCCCCCCCCACAGGUCAAGAACAGGUACCACAUGAUGAGGCGCUUGGAGGAUGUUGUGAUGUGUUCGUGAGAGAUCUAGGUCGUCGUCUCCCAGUCAACUUUGGGUUGCUGGACCAUUGUCUCCUUAUAAUGUAAUUAUUUAUUUAUUUUGUAUAGAACUCCUGUUAUAUAGUAAAGAUGUGACAUUCGAUCAUGUGCCAUGAUUCAUCAUAUGUGUGAGACUUGGUCCCAGCACACCUGGUGAUUAUGUUCGCGCCCGGGUUUUGGACCCCUAAAAUCCGGGUGUGACAGAAGUGGUAUCAGAGGAAUGUUGACUGUAGAACGAAACCUAGAUAGAACUGGACAACCAAUAUUUACUUACCUUUGCUACUCUGAUUCUUUUCUGAACUUUUCUUAAUCUUUUCUCAUCUAUUUCUGCUUUACUCUGAUUAUUCUUACCUUUUCUUUCUAAAGACAAAUGUGGACUUCACACUUUGGAAUCCCGUGCAUAAAGUGACCUUUAGGAAUAGGAGACCUACACUUAGGAACAAAAUUAAAACUAUUUUAGUAAAUAUUGAUAUGCUUGAAUGCUUGUUCUUAUGAUACUUGUUUGAUUUGGAUCUUUGAUUGAGUGGGAUGAGUUGUGGAGUAAUAUCCACAAUUACAUCUGCAUAUACAUAAAGAAAAAAUGCUUAUAAAAAUAACUAGAUAAACUAGAUUAUCCCUCAUUAAAGUAUCUAGCCUAACAAUAUCCAUCUCAUCAUGAAAGAUUCUUUCCUACACUCAUAGAUCCAUCUUAUCUUAAAAGAUACUCAUCUUAUCUUGAAAAGAUUUAAUCUCAUCCUAAUAGAUCUAACUGACCUCAAAAGAUUCUACCUUAUCCUUAUGGAUUUAUCUUAUUCUAAUAGGCAUACCUAUCCCACUCUACAGUAACAACCAUGAUCUAGCCUAAAAUAAAUAGAUCUUAUCCAGUCUAAAAUAAUCAUAUCAAUUUAUUCUAGAUCUGAUCCAAUCUAAAGUGAGUUAUUUAAUGCUGGUACAAAGGAUAAGACCAUACUCCUAAUGCACUUAAACCUAAAUUAGUGCAUUAGACCAACUCAACACCGAGCAUAAGAUCUAACUCAACCAAUAGAGUCAUGAUGGUUUGUACAACCUAUCUGUUCCCACCUAACAUCAAACAAACUUUUGACCUACAUCAUGUAGUCCAUCUCACCCAUAACUAUUUCAACCAUAUGCCCCAACUCUGCUGAUAUACAGUAACCUCGAAUUAAUGAGACCAAGAGUGGAAAAGGAAAAGAUCAACCUCGUCAAGGAAGGAGAGAAGUCAAACUCAAUCUUCAGAUGCAUUACCACUCAACACGGAAUUCAUUCCCACCAUAAACUUUCGUACCUUAGGCUAUUCUUGCCCUAACCUAUCUUUCAUCCUACACAAUAAGGAGACUAUACCUAUAUAUACCCCUGCUUUCAUAACCACUUUUUAAAUAACAUGACACUUCUUAGAAGUUAAAGGCUAAACUAUAAAUAAAGCUUUUUACAUCCCUGUCCUUACAAAUCUCGAGGACGAGAUUUCUGUUAAGGGGGUAGGAUUUGUAAAACCCAAAAAUUUGUAUAAGGUAAAAAAAACAAACAUCAAAAUAAGUGCUCUUGAUAAAUAAUUGAAAUUUAGAGUUCACCCUCUCUAAAGCAAAUUAUUAUAAUGGAAUAAUAUUAGCUAAUCAUAUCUUAAUAAAGAUUAGACACUUGAAAAAUGUUUCCUAUCAAACCAAAGGAAAAUGAAUUUUUGGGUUAUAGCUUUUAAAAUUAUUUAAUACACUCAAAAUAAUAUGGUGUGUGUGUUUCAUUACCCAAAUAAAAUGAUAAUAAUAAAUAAAGUAAUUAAAUAAAUAUAUUAAGGUAAUGAGUGCCUAUCGUACUGUUUUUUCAAAAAAAAGAAAUGAAGGUUUGAAAUUCAAACAUGAGUAUGUUUUGGAAUUGGAAUAAAAAAAUCAGAAGAAAAUAAAAAGAGAAACUCACCCACUAACCUGGGCUGAAUCCCCCUCCUUGAGCCAACCUAACGGCUAAUUCGCGCCCGUCGGCCUACUACUGACUUUUCCCCCGGUCAGCCUGCUUCUCUCCUCUAGUUUCACUAACGGCUGGGUCCCACCCGCCAGAAGCUUCUUCACCAAACCAACGGUGGCGUACUCUGAAGUCUGAACACGCGCGACAGGCGCUUGGGCGAUGAAUGUCGCGCGCCCGUGAUGCACAGAAAUCGCUACCGCGACUUCCUUCGGUGCGAAAAUAGGACAGCGGCAUCACCGGAUAACAAACCUUUCCUCUUUCCCCGUGAUCCGAUCCGGUAUCCUUCAUCCCCGUACCAAUCGGGAUUUCAGUUCCUGACAGCGGGCGGAACAUGGUCGCCAUUAUCGGGUCCCCGUGAACCGCGCCAUGGCUAAUGCGGAGAGAGAUAAGCUGGAGAGGGUCCACCUUGUGCUCAUCGGAUUGCAGAGAGAUUGAGAGAGAGAACGUCGUGGUUCGUGCGGCUGGCGCAUGGACCCGCCUUGACUGCGGCACCUUCUCCGCGAAUUCGUUGCAACAGCGCGCGCAAUCGUGGGGGUCUGUUGGGAUUCACCCUCCUCGCAUCCGGAUCGUGAGUUCGUUCAUCAACCAACCCCCUGCCCCUAUAUAACCAUCAGGCCAUGAUUCCUUGCCUCCCAGCUCCGUCUCCAUCAUCUUCUAGGCAGAGCGAGCCAAGAAGGGAUAAAGGAGUUCUGUCCCGUUGUGUGUAAAGGGGGUCACCGGCGUGGAACCAGGGCCCUGCUGCCCCAUAGCCUUCGGGACGCAACCUGGGAUGAUCUCCGGUGCUUGUGGCGUCUGUUCGCGGUAUUGGAGGAAUCUCCAGAGUUUUGGUAAUUGCUUGAUAGUGAGCUCCUCCGCUGUUUCGUCAUGGUGUGCCAUGGGUGGGGUCCUCCGCGCUGCACCCUUCGGUAAGGACCUCCCUUCUGUGCAUUAGCGUUGACUCUAGCUUUGCGUGGAUUUAUCGAUGGGGCAGGGUAGGGCGUGUGCUUGUGGUCUUGGCACCGUGGGCGAGUUUCCGGCGAUUGCCUGUGCCGUGGUUGCGUCUGCCGGUUCGGCGCGCGAUUGGUCCCUGGUCUGGGCGGCGCAAGGAAGAAGAACAUGCCCUUGCCGUCGGAUCGAGAUGGAUGGUCGAGAUUGAAACAGCCAUACCCUUUCGCUUCAAGAAACCGUGUUCGUGGAUGACGAAAUCGACGGUGUAGAUUAGGUCUGGAUUUACCCCUUCGCGCGAUCUGAUCUGGACCUUCAGAAUCUGAUCGGGCGGCUCACGAGUAGCCAUACCCCUUUGGGCAAGAUAUUUUGCUAAAGAGUCCCUAGUGUUUUGUGGAAUCAACCCGCCGUCCGCUAUAGAUCUAAGAACAUUACAUAUGGGCCCUGUUUUUUAACAGUUUAAACCCUAUCUGUCCAGCGAUUUGUGCCCAAGGUCCUCAGGUCGCCAGUAAACUAGAAGUUAAUUCGAAAAUAGUUUUCAGUAGACAAAUAAAUCCAAACAAAUUUGUAUAAUCCAUAACUUUCUCAUUUUAAGUCUGUUUCAACCCGUUCAAAUUGCGUUAGUCUUUUAAUAAAAUUGUCUAUGCAGUAACAGUAUUAAUUAUACCAUAUUGCAUAAUUUUAUAAUUAAAUAUUUAUUUACCCUAUGUCUACUAGAUGAGCUCUUCUAAAAUCAAAGCUAACCGGGCCAUAAUUAUAAUUUGAUUAAAAUAUGGUCUCUAGUCAAGUUAUAAUUAAAAAUUAAAGUUGAGUUAAUUACUUAUAUAAUACUCUUCUCACAUGAUCUAUAUUAAUCAACAGGGGAUUAUAAACUCAGUAAAAUCAAUCUAUAAAUGAAUAUAGUAUAAAAUAAAUAUACUAAUCUUGUAAAAUCCCUAUCUCCUUUGUUUUAGCUCCGAAUUAAUUAAUUCCAGUCGCAUUAGUUUCAUAUUAAUAUUGUUCUUCGUCUAGUAACCUUAUUUUAUCAUGAAACUUAUGAUUAAUAUUGUACACUUAGUUUCUUUAUGUCCUGCACUUAAAACUUCAUAAAACCAUAACUUCAUAACCGUAGAUCCGAAAUCAGUGAUUAUCGAGCCCACGAUCUCGUAGCAACGCGUAGAUUAUUAUUACACAAUUUGUACUUAUGUUUGGUGUAAUGUUAAUUUUGCCUAUAUAAUGUUUGUUUGUAUUGCUACGACUAGAGUGAGGACACGUGUCAUCUGAAGAGCAAGUUGGUACCUAGAAUCUCAAGUCCCAGGCAAGUUGUGCCCUUGAUCACUUCUUUUUACCCACUCAUGUUCUAAUUAAUCAUAAUGAUCUGCAUAGGUUAAUUUUGAUGGGACCCAAUAGGUUACCCUAGUUUGAUUAUCUUUAUACCUUGUUUACCACUGAACUUUUUGGGUAGUACUUGCUAGUGCUUUAUGUGGUUUUGGGUAUGAAGAUACAUUAUUCAUGAUUAUACUUUUGUUAUCUGUUGUUAUUUACUGUUCAUGAUAAGAUCAUUAUGUUAAUUGGAACAUGGAGCAACCACCUGGGAAAACAGUGCUACCACAAGGGUUUAUGGACGCCCUUGGCUGAUUAAUUAGGAAAGCUAGUGGAGGACUACCUUACCCGAAAGGGGCAAGGGCAGUAGGGGAGUGGUCAGUGUAGGGAGGUCCUUGGUUGAUUUUGCUGCGAUGGCGGUCAGGCAAGAACCCUGCAUUGGAGCUUCCUAUAAACUGUAGCGGGUUUUCUGAAGCUAGUGGAACUUUGUAAAGGCCUCGUAGUGUUACCCUGCCUCGCCUCCUCGGUAGAGGUGUAUGGAAAGUCGCGAUCCUUUGGCAGAUGGGUAACAUGACUUGUGGGUAAAGAUGUGCAACCUCUGCAGAGUGUAAAACUGGUAUACUAGCCGUGCUCACGGUCAUGAGCAGCUCGGACCCUCACAUGAUUAAUUUAUGGAACUAAAUUCAAUAUGUCAUAUGCAUUGCAUCGCAGGUGAUGUUGUUACUUUGGUUCUAUUACUUAAUUGGGUUGAUAUUUACUUAUACUUAGUAAUUGCUAAUAAAAUUUUGACCAACUUUAAAAGCAAUGCUCAGCUCUAACCAUCCUCUUUGGUAAGCCUUACACUUCACAUGAACUUCCACCUUUGGCGAGUUCAUUCACAUUAUUCCCCACAACUUGUUGAGCGAUGAACGUAUGUGAGCUCACUCUUGCUGUCUCACACCCCCCCACAGGUCAAGAACAGGUACCACAUGAUGAGGCGCUUGGAGGAUGUUGUGAUGUGUUCGUGAGAGAUCUAGGCCAUCGUCUCUCAGUCAACUUUGGGUUGCUGGACCGUUGUCUCCUUAUAAUGUAAUUAUUUAUUUAUUUUGUAUAGAACUCCUGUUAUAUAGUAAAGAUGUGACAUUCGAUCCUGUGCCAUGAUUCAUCAUAUGUGUGAGACUUGGUCCCAGCACACCUGGUGAUUAUGUUCGCGCCCGGGUUUUGGACCCCUAAAAUCUGGGUGUGACAGUCGUGUCGGCUCCUUUCUACCCUGACAUCCUCUUCAUCCAGGGGAGAUUGGAGUCAUCGCCCAUCUUCGACGAUGAGCCUACCAUGCAAGGGGAGGAACCUCCCUAGUGUAAUGCCCGGUGACUAAGAAACAGAUGCCAGAACGUGCGGCGACAUCAUGAAGUCGGGGGACGGGAUCCAACGCAGCCCGUGUCCCGGGACAAAGCCUCGGAAGUGGGAGAAACUCCCAACGAACGAGUACACCGAGAAAGACGUAACUCCCGUCGCCAUGAUCGCCGACAGCUCAAGACCGGGAGCGAGAGCUAGCCGAACAAGACGCUAGGCUCCAGCGAGAGAACCCUCUCCUCGCUCGAAACCUGUACCCCGAUUUCACUCGAGCACUAAACACGCCGAGUGAAGUUGGAGGAGUACUAGUGCAGAUAGCCGACGACCUCCCACGAACCCUAGAUGCGGAAGGUUACCUGCGGCUGCUUACUCAGGCAGCCAAUCAUCUUCUACCUUCGCUCAUCCUGCGAACGACCUGCGUCACUCCAUCAACAGCCGACGAGACGCGUGGAGCACCAUCAGCGCUGCGCGCGACCGACGGCAAGAAAAUGAGAUAAGGCGCCGGGAGGAGUACGACCGAGAUCACGACGUACCGGCAUGAAGUCGUGCCACCCGAGUUGAGUCGGCGGCAGCUUCAACUAGUGUCUCGUUCCGGGGAUGGUCGAGACGACCUACUACCGACUCCCCUCCCCGGGACCGACGACACGAACAUCGGUAGGAGGAUACAUGCGGAGUUUCUGCGCUUACUCCGCGUCUCCAGGCCAUCCAAUGGCCUCCCAACUUCAAGGUCUCCAAUGUCAACAAGUACGAGCCUAAGCAGGACCCGGGAGGCUGGUUGACCGUCUAUACGACUGCCGCCCGGGCUGCUGGGACAACGGAGGACGUCAUGACUGCGUACUUACCCAUUAUCCUAGGGCAACACUCGCUGUAGUGACUCCGACACCUACCUCGACACUGCAUCGACGAUUGGGGUGACUUCAGUCACCGGUUUAUCGUGAAUUUCCAGUCUCUCUCUGAUAAGCCGGCACAGCCAUGGGACCUCAAAUCCAUUAGGUUUUUGAAUGAUGAGACCCUUCGAUCGUUUCUCAAAAGAUCCUCAAAAUAUUUCAAACAAUGAGGAAUCACAUCUUCGAAGUCGCUGAGGCGUCUGUAAUUGAAGACUUCUAUCGGGGAUCCAACGACUCGGCCUUCGUCUGAGCCAUACUUCAAAAGGCGCCAGCCACCUCCGAACAAUUGUUCUAGGAGGCGGACAUCUACAUCAUCGCGGAUGAGCGGGCCCAGGACCUCAUCAGAGGCACAAAAUCUGUGCCACCCGCACCACGGCAGGAUACGAACCAGUAGCUAGACAAGCGCUGGAAAAAAGGCCUCGCAAGGAGGUACACACCGACAGGCUGUCUGCCGCUCGAGCCCGCGGCGCACCCCGCGGAGGAGUGCGGACACUAGACGAAAUCCUCGACUCCUAGUGUCCAUACCACAAGGACAUGCACCACACCCUGCAGAAAUGUAGAGACUUCAAACAUUCUGUCGGGCAUGGCAGACCGUUCCAGCCACUACCACCUGAAAGUUCCCUUUGCCCGGGAACAGGAUCUGGAUGUCGCCUAGAGGGGGGUGAAUAGGCGAAUAAAAAAUUGUCACUUUAAAACUUUAGUUCUUACUCUACUCAAAGACCAGAUCGCAGUGGAAUGAAAGAUCCUUCGAGUAGGUUGCAGCGGAAUAGAAGAUCCUGUCUCAAAAUGCCCUGCACUUCAAAUAUAACUUGUACCACUGAUAAGUGUUGAAGUGUAGAUAUAAAAAGUGAGUAAGACAGAGAGUCAGCACACAAUACAGAGCGAAGCACACAGACACAAGAAUUUAUCCCGAGGUUCGGCCAAGCCUGAAAUGCUUGCCUAGUCCUCGUUGUAGUUAGCCACACCAGGGCUUGGAGUCUAUUUCAACUCCUUCCUCUGUUUGCUCAGAUCUGUCAGUAUGACAGAUAGAGCCUUCCACUAUGUUGAGUUGGGUUACAACAAAGCCGCGGCUGCUUACAAUCUUCUUGAAAGCACUCCGGCAGAGUAACAAUGCGCUCAAGACUUUGCUCUAGCUCUUUGCAGCACCUCUCCACUCUCUAAAGGCUUAUAACUUUGCCUUCACACAAACUAGAGAGAUUUACACGAGAGUGAGAGAGAGAAUCGAUCCGAGUGAUGUAUACAAUUGUUGGCUGCACUUGUGUUCUUGUUUGAGGCGCCUAGGGGUCCCUUUUAUAGCCCCAAAUGGCCUAGGAGCCGUUGGAGCUUCAUUUGGAAGCUCCCAGCCUUCCCUGGAUGCGGGUGCACCGGACUGUCCGGUGGCGCACCGGACAGUGAACAGUAACGGAUCUGAUUGGCAGUUUCCUUCUCUGGAACAGCUAGCCGUUGGUGCACCGGACAGGUCACUAUUCACUGCCCUGUGCACCGGACACAUCUACUAUUCACUGUCCUGUGCACCGGAUGCAGCUACUAUUCACUUUCCUGUGCACCGGACACAGUUACUAUUCUCUGUCCUGUGCACCGGACACAGCUACUAUUCACUGUCCUGUGCACCAGCCAACAGCACACUAAGUGAUUUUUCUUUCGUUCUUUCUCCGUUUGACUUCAACUUUUGGGAGGAUUUUCCUGAGACUUAAACAAACACAUUUAGAGUAUAAUCCAAUUGAUUUAGUCCUAGAAACUUACAUCUUUCUUGUUCUUCUCCUAGCUUUUCUGUUUCUCCUCCAGCAGAGCUCAGAAUGGUACUUUCUCUACAGAAAGAGUUAGAGAGCAAACCAAAGCACCAAACUUGUAGUAAGAGGUGUAUGGAACAUGGUUGAACACUCAAACCUUACAUACUUAACCUUUUUCAUCGUUUUACCCAAUUUGGCAUGUUUGAGGUCGAUGUUGGACUCUAAACCAUUAAGUCAACUUGACUUGAUCUAGAUUGAUAUAUCUGAGCUCCAACUCCCUUGUUCAUUUCUCGAGCUUGAUCUUGAGCCUUAUGACUUACACCACAUAACUGUAGAUGUUACCUCAUUAGUUGUAAGUCAUGUCCUUAUGUAGUGAUUCUUGAUGCAGCAUAACUCUUCUUAACUCGAUCAACCUUGACUUUGCAAGUCUUCUUCUUCACCCCUGGCUUUGGGUUCCUGGUCUCCUUGAGCUUCUCCCGUGCACUCGGUACCUCGAAGCUCUUCUUGCCUCCAUCCUUGGCUUGAUCGGUUGUCUCUGAGUUACGCACAUCGAGUCUCACUUAAGCAAUGUCCAUCUUAAUUGUGACGUCCAUUAUCUAUAGAUAAUCUAGUCUUUGGACCAUCACACUUGUUCACUUAUGUUGAACCCUGUUAGCUUUGCAUUAAGCACCUGUUCAACACUUAGCACACUUGUUAGUCCUUUAAUUGAGUUGUCAUCUAAACACCAAAACACUUAGCUUUCAAUCUCCUCCUUAGGUUGACAAAUAAUAUUUCAUUUUGCAAGUCAGUAUUUCUUUUUAAAUUGACCAUUUGCCAAUAGAACCGAGAACGGAUGGCAUCUAGUUUUUUAACACCCCGAUAGGCACCUCAAAAAAGAACAUCAUGAAAAUAGGGAGGUUGAUUAAGACUGAAUUAAUGUGCACUAGACGACCGCCAGAAGAAAGUAAUUUACCUUUCCACGUAGCUAAUCGUUUUUUGAAUCUAUCAAUGACACACUGCCACUCGCUAUUUCGUAACAUGCGAUGGGUCAUAGGAGUUCCAAGGUAUUUGAGAGGAAAAGAAUCGAUCCCACAAGCAAAAAGACAAGAAUAAUCCAUUUCAUAAUCCUUAGCUAACCCAUAGCAAAAAAGCUCACUUCUGUGAAAGUUGAUUUUCAAACAUGACAUUUGCUCAAAAGCGAUCAGGAGAAGUUUCACAUUUCGCGCAUGAUCCAAGCUAUGAUCUAGAAAAACAACGCUAUCAUCUGCAUACUGGAGGAUAGAAAGUCCACCAUCCACUAGAUGAGGAACCAAACCCAUGAAUUAGUUAUUUUCCUUUGCUCUUAAAAAUAGAAUUCCCAACAUGUUCACAACUAUAAUAUGAGAAUCAGAGAAAGAGGAUCACCUUGAUGGAGACUUGUGAGUAGAAAAGAAAGGGCCAAUUUCAUCAUUAACUUUAACCCCCACAUGUCCUCUAGAGACAAUUGACUGAACCCAAUCACACCAUUUCUGCGAGAAACCUUUCAUUUGCAUAGCUUGUUGGAGGAAGGAGCAUUUUACCUUAUCGUAAGCUUUUUCAAAAUCCAAUCAGACCAUUCAUUUUUUCCUAUGAAGUUCGUGACUAGUCUCGUGAAGCACAAUUACGCCUUAAAGAAUAUUGCGGUCAGGCAUAAAAGCAGUUUGCGAGGGGUUAAUAAUCUUGUCUGCAACCACUCCAAUUCUGUUUGUCGAGACUUUAGUAAUUAUCUUAAAACUAACAUUAAGCAAGCAAAUGGGUCGAUAAUCUUGAUUUUUCAAGGCAUUACAUUUCUUAGGUAGAAGAGUAAUGAUCCCAAAAUUAAGACUAUAGACAGGGAGAGUGCCAUUGUGAAAUUACAUGAACAAGGCUAGUAAAUCAUCUUUUAUUAUUUAUCAUAAAACCUGGUAAAACUCAGUCGGAAAACCAUCUGGUCCAGGAGCUUUAUUAUGUUCCAUGUAGAAAAUAGCCUCACAGACCUCAUCAACAGUGAAGGGCGCCAUCAAAAUUGCAUUUUCGAUAUCUGAAACCUAGGUGAUAUUGUGAGUAAUCGAUUCCUGCAGCGAUAUUGAGUUUUGUUUCGGCUUCCAGAAUUGGCCUUUAUAGUAAUUAGUGAUAUGGAGUUUGAGGUCCACCUCUUCAAUACGGGUCCCGUCAUUGUCCUCGAGGUUAUAAAUACUUUGUUUUUUAUGUUUGCUAUUGGCAACUGACUGAAAGUAUUUAGUGUUAUUGUCCCCUUCAAGAAGAUGUUUAACUUUCGCCCGUUGAAAGAGACAGAUUUCCUCUUCUCUUAAGAUAGCAGCAAGUCUUUCGUCAAUAUAUAUUUUUAGUGCUAGCUCAUUUGGCGAAAGUUGAGAAGUCUCUGCCUUUUUAUCCAACUCGUCAAGCUUUUGAGUAAGUCGAGACUUCUCCCUUCGAAGUGAUCCAGUUGUGUUCUUGGCCCAACCACGAAGGUAUUGACGCAAGACUCUUAUCUUACAUUGCCAUUUCUCCAUUGAUGUGAUUCCCCUCGUUUGUUGCUGCCAAAUCGUCGAAACCAUAUCAUGGAACCCAUCUCUAAUGAGCCAUCCUAACUCAAAUUCAAAUUGGGAGUGGGUUCUGAGCUGUAAGGUAACCCUGGCAUUGAGCAGUAACGGUGUGUGGUCCGAGCGAGAUCUAUGAAGCGCUACGACAGAGACAUUAUGGAAUUUUAGUUCUCAAUCGAUACUCAUAAAAACUCUAUCUAGUUUUCCGAAGGUUGGUGAUCUAAAUUGUUGGACCAAGUAAAAUGACAAUGCUUCAAGUCAAUCUCUUUCAUCUCAAGGCUCUCUAUGACGGUAUUAAAUAAAUUAGUCCAACGAAAUUGAAGUUAUUUUUGUUUUUAUCCUCGGGCAUUCUCAUUAUAUUGAAAUCUCCUGAUAAUAAAAGGCUAGGACUCUACACCAACUACACUAGCCAUCUCCGCUAAGAAGACAUUCUUGAGGUCAUCAUGAGCUGGGCCAUACACCACAUAAAGGGCCCAUUUAAAAUCAUCUGAUUUAUUUCUAAGAAGAAAUUUCGUGUAAAAAUCCCCCUCAUCAAUAGCUCCAAUGUCAAAAACCGCUGGAUUUACUCCUAAAAUCAUUCCUCCGGAUCUACCUGGCAAUAGUGUGCCAGAGAAAAUCAAUCCCACCACUUAUAUGCCGCAAAGUGGAUUCCGAGAAAAGUCCCUGUCCAUCGCAAAUAUCACUAAGAAGUCGAGACGAUGAUCUUUAGCUAAGGUAGAAAGAUAAUUAUGUUUAGCAAGUCUGCGAGACCUCUGCCAAAAAAUACCCUUCAUUUUAAACUAAUUUUAGAUAGGGUGACUAUUUUUUUAGAGGGACGAGAAGGCCUCCUUACUGAAGUAAAAUGAUUCGUCUUUUUUAUGACGUGGAACAACACUAACAUCAUAGCCCCACUCUAGACCGUCUUGGUCAGAGUUAUCGUCCUAUCUUUUAGUAGCAUUUGAAAGGUGAGUAUCAAUUUCAUCCUACAUCUGGCUGAUACAAGAUUACACGGAGAAGAGAUGGGCAAAGGAGAAUUUGAUAGGAAAUGGCAAGCAGCACAUCGGAUUAAGGAGUUCUAGUGAUGGGAUGCAACGGGAACUUUAUUAGGUGAACAUCUAGUGCACAAGAGAGCGAAGCAGAACUUUCCGGUGGGAAAGAGAUGAGCUAGUUGUAAAAUCGCCUGUGGUCUCACUGUGCAGUUGUCGAUCGAGAGAUCUCUUCCUUCCGGCUCCUGACCAGACCGUCGGAAUCAGUUAAUGGCACAAGUUUUGCUUCUGUUCGCUUCUAUAAAUCACUAGGUCAGUGCCCGUGCAUUACAACGGAAUUAUAUCAUAGCUCGAUAACUGAUGAGAUGGAGGACGACAUCUACGAGCCGUCCGGGAUGACGUUGAAGAGAAACUCGGACCUGUGACGCACGAGCACUGUGAGUAGUGUAGUAUACAAGAUUUAACAAGACAAUUUAAAGGCAAAAAUUCAAGAAUGAUCUUUCAUAGAACAUCAUAGUUUAGAUAUUCAGAUCAAUAAAUAUAAAAUAAACAUAAGCAUAACUAUUUAUUUAAUCUAUUUUUUUAUAAUAGGUUGAGCUACUCUUGUAUAUUUCCAUAAAUGUUAAAUCACGAGGGGAAUGGAAUGGGAAUGAUGAACGCACGAACGUGGAGAGGGCGACACACGAAACCGCUGCCAGAGAUCGACAUCAUCGGUUGGGAGAAGACUCUGAGCGUCCCUAGCGAUGCGGGUGGGCCACGGGCGGAGGUGGUUGCGGCUGGCGGAGCAAGGAUUGCGCGUGAUUGAUUCAGAGCUCGAAGGUUACUGGGCGGAGGUCAGCUGUGGGCCCAUGUGAUCGGACGGUCCAGAUUGACCGAAGGCAGAACGACAAAAACAGAGAGGCAGGCUACCCUUGCAGCUUUAAUAAGUAGUAGAGAAAAACAGGUGCAGUCUUAGUGAUAUCCAGAGCAGCUCCAUUCUUUAAUCAUAUAUCCAUCAGAGAAAUUAUACAAUGAGUCAGUGACAUCAUUUCUACAGGAGUAAUGUUGCAAGAUGCAAGAGUUUAAAACGAACAACACUACCUCGUAUUAAUAUGAUAAGAGCAUGCUGGAAAAAUAUAUAAAGAUACAUAAGUAGGAAGCUCGUUUCAAUGAAGGAUUUCCAAUAUUCUGUAUAACGUCCCAUUUAAAAUUGCUAGAAGAUAUGUAAGUAAUCUGAGCAUAAUAUGAGAGGUAACAAAUUUAAUUUAAUAAUCAAUGUGUUAAUAGAUGAGGCUCGUGCGUUGCAAUGAGAACAUAUAAUAUCACAAUAACUUAUAUACAAAUGAGUGUUAUACUACUAUGAGAUGUAGGACGACAUCUGCUAGCCAUCCGGGAUAGCAUCGAAGCGAAACUCGGGUCGCGGUCGAGUGCGCUGGCCCUAUGGCGUGAGGUCGCUCGUCUAGGUGCCGCGUGAGGUGGAGGGGACAGUCUCGGGGAGGGAGCAAUCUCCGAGGGCCAGUGGUGGAGUGGCGGCGCGCGGUCACCGAGCCGCUCGCCUUGCGGCAGCGGAGGGAUCAGAUAUACACACGACACAAAAUUUAAAGUUAAAUGAGUAGAGUUGAAUGUUGUCCAUGUAUGUAAAUUGAGAGUUGAGACCUUUGACUCCGAUUGUAAAUACACGAGUCCAUACAGAAAGCAAAAGUGUCGACAACAACACGGCGUCACUUCGUCGCAUGACACUAUGACAGCAGGAUCUGAUUCCUCCGGCUAAGAGCAGGCACUCUGUAUUGGAGGGAUCACGCUCUGUUGAAUCAUGAUCUUCAGGUUCAGAAUAGCAUGAAUGAAGGUUUGCAAGGGGCUGCAUUCUUUGAUAUGAACAAGCAAACACAUACAUGAAAUGAAGGUAAAGCUAAGGUGUAAUUCUGUAAAAAAAUCUUGAAAUGCCUCAUGUAGCAACAAAAUGAUGGAAUGGCCAAACAAGGAGUACCACCUAAUACUUGCAUAACUUGGUAAUACACAGUGUUAUUGAUAUACACAAAUUGAAUUGUGCGGCAAUCUUAUGGAGCUUACAUGUAUCGAAUGUCACUUGGUCAAAGGGGUACAUUUAAAAAGGUGAGUCUCUCCUUAGUCCUUACCCUCUGGAGAGCCCAGUAUUUCAUGAGCUGUACACAACAGUAUUUCAUGAGCUGUACACAAAUUGAAAAUAAAAAUAUUGUACAAGGGUGCAUUUCGUGGCAUACAAAGUCACAUUGAUUUUAGAGCUCGUGAUUCUUGCAUAUAUAUCUUAACAAGAUGAUGGAUCCAUCAACUUCACGAAUGUAGUUGUAUACUUGGUUGGCUGUACCAAUCACGAACUGACAGAUUCCCCUUGAAUCAGCAUGUAGUGUGACACUGUAGUACUCAAGAUGAUCUGCUACGCUCAUCCCAUAGACCCGCUUUUUCAAGAAAACACAAAUAAUAUGAAACACACAUAGGAAAUAAAUGUCCAAAAUAGAUAGACUGAUAUGUACCUGCUAUAGGUCGGGUCCUCACCAGAAUCAUCACAUACAAUCUCAUUUCUGGCAACUACAUUUCCAUCUAUGCUCUCAUGAAGUCAAACCUAAAGAUAAAUAAAUACAGAAGAAAUGGAUGGACGCUAAUCUAGGAAAAGUAUGCAUCUCUAUAAAUUCUUUUCGACUAUAACCAAAUACAUAGCUCUCUAGCGAAGUGUUGGUAUGUCCAUUCACUUAGGUAAUAAUAGUACGGUGGUAAUUGCGGCACAAUAUCGUUCUGAUGGGUCACAUGGAUUGUUCUUGGGACUUGUUCGCCAAGGCAUACAACAAAAGCAGGAUUGCCUAUCCGAGGCUGUCCAAAAGUCAUGUGCCCAACGUCCUAUGAUCCAAAUUUAACAUGUAAAAAAUGUAGAGAUAUCAAUGAAGCCAACCAUCUGAUAUAUUAACAAUACAUGCGAUGGUAUCACAAAACAAGUACAUGUUAUUUGUAGAGCAUAUAUUGAAAUUUGGUAUAAUAAAUCAAGUACAUUAAAAAUACUUACAAAUAGACCAAGGGCACAAAAUGAAGCUAGAUCCCCUCCAAUGGAGUGUCCCACAACAUUUACAGGUAGAUUUCCAUAUGUUUUUCUUGCCCAUUUAAUAGACUUCAGGAUCUCAUAUAGCAGAGUUGUACUAUCAUAUGCAGAAGAAAACCUAUGAUGGACCUGCAACAUUAGACAGACAAGCAACAGGCAAACACAAGUCUGGCACAGGAAAAAUGGUAAUAAAGAGUGACAUAUUCAAAGAUGCAUAUAUUCUAUCCCAAACCAUUCGAUUUUUCCAAGGGACUCCAUGUCUGGCACAGAAAAAACUCCACAAGUGUUAAUAUUUUGCCAUCACUUAGAGCAACUAUACAUGUGAGAACGAUUCUGUUUCCAUGCUUAGCACAUAUCACCACCGUGAAAUCUGCACAUCACAUCGUCUAUUACCAGGAGUUGGCAUCAGGACUAAAGAGUGAAAUACUUGACAAAUUGUUAGGCCUAAAUGUGUUAAAUUUUGUUAUGAGUCCAGUCAAGGUUAGUAGCCACUCUGCACAUAGACAGAAACAUGAUCCCCAUUCACCUCUACUGGGCAAAAUAGUUAUACUGACUCUGUCAAAAAUUAAAAUUUGUUUUACCUUUAAAUGAAUUAAUACAAUAAUUAAUGUAUGUGUUUCAUAUAUGUGUCUAGAUUCAUCAUCAUCCUUUUGAAUAUAGACAUAAAAAACAAGAGCUACAAUGACUAAUAUUUUGGGACGGAGAGAGUAUUUGUCUUGGUUUAGAAGAACUACGGAUGGCAAACUCAAACUCUGAAGCAGUGAAGCCUCGAGGAGGGUGUUUAUUGCUCUGUUAUCUAGACCAUUUUGAAUGAUACUAUGAUAGAAUUGAGCCUUCCAAUGUUCGGGGUUUCCUAACCACAAUCGUGUACUGCCUUACAAUCAUCUCUAGAGCAAGGAGGGCCUCUCGGUACCAAAACAUCCCAUAUAACUUUAGCUUUCAAGGCAAAAAAAUAUAUUUUUCCUUCAUAAUAUAAAAUGAUAGUAACAUUACACAAAGAACUCACAAGGCAGAAGGAGCAACGAUAAUAGCAUCGUGGCCCAAUUUAUUGUCUUAUUUUGCUUUUAUAUUACUUUGUGUUGAUCUUCUACAACUACUUUUGUGUGAUAUAUCAUGGCUUAUCAACUCAAGGCAAGAAGCAAGGCAGAAGGCAAUCAGUGCAGCCUAGCAGUAGUAGCUCUAAUGUUUUAAAAUAUCAUAAGUUAAUGUCAAGGAUAUUAGCUUUGACAUACUUGAAGUUUUAUAGACCAAUAUAAGAUUAUCAAUCGUGAGCUUGUGAUGAAGUUAGAAACUAAUUUCACCUGAUGCAUUUGAUUGUUGUCCUCAGCAGCAGGCUCACUACUUCCAUCACCCAUAUCAAAAAGCCCAACCCUCUUAUUGUUGUUACCAAGGCUACUUUGGUAUCUGCAAAAAAAACUUUUGAAUUAGCCUUAAAAUUUACAAUAAGUACCAAGUGGAACAAAUGUGGAGGUAUAACAAUUUAAAUUAGAAGUUUCUUAAUUUUAGUAGUAUGCAUCUUUGUAAUUAAGAUUAAAAAAGCAUAGAACUUUCUAUUUCAAGAACUGUUUUCUGUACAGUGCACUUGCGUUUUCCUCAAGGCGACGUAGGAAUUCAACUCUUUGAUCUGUACAGUGCACAAGAAACAUUACAAAAAUGUGUAGGGUGAAAUACAAUCAGGCUACUGGAAUUACCAAUCAUGAAUUGUUUUCUGUCAUUUAGCUGCUUGUUGAUCACAGGUGGAUUAUUUGACUCCUCGUCUUUAAGAAUGCGAUCCUUUUGGCCAUGCGGCAAUGCAAUGGAAAUGGGAUGUCAAGUGAAAGUGGAAACUCGAAUAAUCCUUUUAAGGGUAGUGUAACUUAUGAUAGUGAAAUAAAAUUAAUAUAUAGGAUGACUAAAGACACCACACCUGAAUAGUUUGAAGGAAGAAAAUAAGAACAGAUCAAACACUUUUGUUACUCCUGUCCUUAGGUUGCUCAGGUCGACCAGAAACAUACAUGCCAUUGCUCAACUGAUGCGAAAUCUUGAACUCAUACUCUGAACCAGGAUAUCAACUGUAUCUCAAGUUUUGACCCCCGUGCUAUGUAAUCAACAUGCUAUAUUUGGGUCUUAACAUGCACACCUUCUCUUCUUACAGUAAGACUUACACCUUCCAUGAGCUCCUUAAAGCAUACAUUGAAUUAAACAAUUGAAGUUAGAUGAACUCCUGGUACUACAAGAUCAAAUUGCUAUCAUGGCAAGUUGCUCCUGUGAAAAAGAUGCCAUCUAAUGUUGACACAACUGGAUUACGAGCAAAUUAAGGUUCCACAGAAUUAACGUAUUUCUCAACCCGUCAUGCUAGGUGCAGAAGAACCAUCCAAAUAGCAUCAGACCAUUAUAUUGUUAGAAAAUGGAAGAUGACUCACAAACUUCUAAGAAAAUACUGAAACCAAUGUUUUAAAAACAAAAUACAAGGAAAAAACCUAUGAGGAACAAGGUACCAUGGACAAAUAUUUCAUUUUAGAGGCCAUCUACAAUCAAAAAAAUACAAACAAAAAAAUACACGAGUUUCAAUUUUUCCAUAUCAAUUCAAGCAAGAAACACUUAUUAUUUAUGAUGCUAGUUGGACAUUGUCAUAAAAACAUACCUCAUUAGCCUGUCCAAAUAAUACAUGGUAUGCUGCUCUAUCUUUAAGCAACUUGACCCUUAGAGAGAGAAAACCUCCGUACAUGUUCAAAGUUGUGUUCUCCACGACAAAUGUUUCUGAGACACCAGGUAGCAUGAGGAAACAAUAUUAACAGCUCUGUAACUAUAUAAAAAUUUCUAACAAACUAAAAUACAAUAAGUUUAAGACAACUUUGGUUGCAUAAACAUAUAAAAUCAAAUUAGAAAGGAACAUUGGAUAGAAUACAAAGAAAAGAUCCAUGAAGACGCAUAACCAAAGAAUAGAUGAACCAAACUACUGCAAAUUCAUGACUAAAAGCUCACUGUAAUUGACUUGCUUCAAGAACACAAUAAUACUACUGUGAAUAUGUGAUACAACUUAAUCAUAGUAGUAAAAUUACAUCUGAUGUUGUAUUUGGUAAAAAAAUAUUUUUUCAGAGUUCAGAGCCAACAACUAAACUCAGGUGUUACAAGGUACAACGAACCUUACUAUUCAGAUUAUUAAUAUAAAAACUCAAGACAGGUGUAAUCCUCAAACAAUCAUAAGCAAUGUGUAUAGGAAUUUUAGACAUAAUGGUGCCUACCACAUGCUUUAGUAUUCAGAUUAUUAACACAAACUCAUGACAUAAUGACCAAAAAAUAUUACACACAAACAUGGACAUAAUGUUGUUUAGGAAUUUCAGACAUAUAUAGAGGUCAAAUAGAGGAAUUUCAGACAAUGAACAAUUAUCAUCAUCAAUAGGCUAGAGUUCAAAUUCUUAAUAUAUGAACUUGACAUAUAAUAGUGCCUCUAGCAGUGUCGCCUUAGUUUAAAAGCAGUAAUAUGGCCUAGAGAGGAGAGGAGAGGAGAGGAGAGAAGAAAAGAGAAGAGAAGAGAGGAAAUAAACAAUAUCUAUUGCUUUCCAUAUAAACUCACAAAGUUAUAUAUAUUCCAAUCCCAUGGAGAGAUGAGGGGAGGAGAGCUACAAAAACCAAUUAUGUUAUGUUUCUCCUUUCAGGCCUAACCCUAUGCAGCAGCAUAUUCAUCCAAGAAACCAACAACCUGUAACAUAUCCCUUAUUAUCCUACCCAUUACAAACUUGUCAUUAAAAUUAAAUUCAGUAUUGACUAAUAUUAUCUCGAUCAAUCUUCAAGGACAUCGAGCUCGAUUUUGCUAUGCCACAGAGAAUGGUGCAUGUGGACCCUUCUUCCUUAUAUGCAUCAGGUGGUCUAAAGUUGGCUUUAACCUUUAGCCCACCUUACAUUAGAGAUUUGGACAUCAAAAGAAAGCUAAAACAUUCUAAAGCUUUUAGAUCUCUAGGUUUAGAAGAGGGAGGCAAACAUGCCCUAGAAUAUUGGAGAUCGCAGCUGCUGCUAUCACCAAGUAACACACUAAGAUAUCGAAGACCGCAACUGCUGCUAUCAUCGUUUAAAGUACAGGAUUCAGUGGUGGUGCUUUUGCUUCUACCUUAACAACUAAGAUCUCAAUCCAUCUUAAUUUGUCCAACCAAACUCUGAAUGAAAAAAAGGAAUCGCAUUUCAGGAAUGAUUGACGAGUUAGCACAAUGCAGGUUCAGAACCUUUGGUUAUUUCCAAAAUAAAGACUUGCAUGUAUGGCUAUAACAAUUUAUACUUUUAAAAAUGGAUACUUAUUGAGACCUGAUAACCACAUUCAGCUAGCUUAGCAGGAGGGAGCAUGCUAACUCAUAAUGCCUUGUAAUUACUGAAUACUGAUGAACCAGCGGAGCCAUACCUCAUUGAUAUCCUCAAGUAGCUCUGACAAACAAAUUAGGGGACAUGACAAACAAAUUAGGGGACACUACCUCUGCGUAUCUGCACAAGGGCCCAAGAGAGGUGGGGCCCGACCAUAGGAACGGAGCUCUCAGCUCCCACACCAUGCACUAGUGAAUGCGAGCAGCUGAUCUGGCCUUCCAGUAAUCCGAUCUGCAUGCAGGGUGAUCCAGGAUUCACGUGGAUAAGGAUGAAAUCAAGAGAGCGCUAGCUAGGAUCACACACCAAUAGCACAAGGAAGGAAGGAAUGAGCGAGCGAACCUUGAGGAAAACAUCACCGACGGACUUCUUUGUGUGGCUCUCCGUCGUUGGUCGCAACCCCCGCCACCGCCCUCACUCGUCGCACAUCGUGCUGUGGUCACGGUCGGGGCUGCCCUUCCGUCCGGUCGACCGUUCGAGCAUGGGGUGAUCAAGCAGGACUCGAGGAGGAAGUAGCGGAUUUAUGGCGACGGAUCGGGGUAGCGGGGCCGAGUGUGGGUUGUUGGCUUUUUGCGGCCGUGGGCGUGGAAGGCGGGGGUGGGGUGGGCGGAGGGGUCAUGAGCUAGAGGGGAGAUCGUGGAGGGAGUGAGCAGUUUGGAUAGAGAUCGUGGGGGAUUUCUUUGCGCGGGCGUCUUGGAGUGAGCGGGUGCUCCUGAGAUGGCUGAGAUCGACGAUGAAUAGGAGAGCACGGGACGGAGACGACGCUAGCAGGAAGAGCUAGAGGGCGAGGGCUCGUUGGGCAGAGAAAGCAAGGGAGACUGACUUUGGAAUAUUAUUUGUGUAGCUGAAGUCAAGCUUUAUUGCAUAGCAUGUUCUGACUUUGGAAGGUGCAACUAAGACAGCAGCCGCACCUACCCCGAAGGUUCCCCAAGAACCGUCGCAGAACAUCAUCCAAGCUUCAGCAUCUUUAUUUGCUUCUUCUUCCUGAGCCCCUGGCGUCCAGUCAGCGAUAAAGUAUGCUAGCGCCUGGGACUGAAUCGAGGAUCUAUGCACAUAAUCAAUGCUGAAUUCGUUGAGUUCUGCAGCCCACUUUACAAUCCUUCCAGUAGCUUCUCUGUUCCUCAUGAUGUCCUUCAGAGGCUAUGACGAAGGAACAAUUAUAUGGAAUGCUUGAAAAUAAUGCUGAAGCUUCCUGGAGGCCAUUAAGACAGCAUACAACACUUUCUCCAAUUCUGUAUAAUUUUUCUUUGAGAAGCUUAAAACUUCGGAGACAAAGUAUACUGGGGCUUGCUUUUUUAUUUGUCCUUCCAAUUUCUCCCGCACAAGCGCCGCACUCACUGCAGAGUGCGAAGCUGCCACAUAUAAUAGUAACGGAGCCCCUGGCGCAGGUGGAGUUAAUGUUGUUAUAUCAAUAAAGUAUUGCUUCAGCUCUUCAAUGGCUUUCUGUUGAGCUGGGGCCCAUUGAAAGACUACGGCUGACUUCAGUAUUUCAAAGAAUGGCAAGUUUCUUUCUGCUGAUCUAGAUAUAAAUCUAUUCAACAAAGCCAAUCUUCCUGCCAACCGCUGGGCCCCCUUCUUUGUGCUCGGUGGUUCCAUUCGAAGGAUAGCUUCGAUCUUGCUUGGGUUAGCUUCAAUCCCCUUCAUCGAAACCAGACAGCCAAGGAACUUGCCCUUCUUCACUCCAAAGACACACUUUUCAGGAUUUAAUUUCAGGCCAGCUUGUCUGAAAUUAGCAAAUGUUUCUUGCAGAUCAGUGAUAUGAUUUUCUUGCUUCGUGCUUUUUACUAUGAUAUCAUCAACGUAUGUUAGCACAUUUCUGCCUAUCUAGGAAUGAAGGACCUUGGCUAUCAUCCUGUUGAAACUGCCUCCAGCAUUUUUGAGCCCCUCACGCAUCCGAAGAUAGCAAUAGGUUCCACUAGGGGUUAUGAAGCUAGUCUUCGGCUCAUCCUCCUUCUUCAUCCAAAUUUGAUGAUAUCCUGAGUAGCAAUCCAGAAGACUCAUAAGUUCUAACGAAGCUGCUGCAUCCACAAGAGAGUCUAUCCUUGGUAAUGGAAAUUCGUCCUUCGGACAUGCCUUGUUAAGAUCCGUGAAAUCAAUACACAUUCUCCAUUUGCCAUUGGCCUUCUUCACCAUAACAGUAUUGGCUAACCACUCUGUAUAUUUCACUUCUCUGAUGACACCAGCACUGAGAAGUCUUUUUACUUCAUUCCGAGCACCUUUGGCUUUAUCAUCAGACAUUUUCCGAAGCCUUUGCUUUCUAGGCCUGAAGGAUGAUCGACAUUGAGUGAAUGUUCAAUGACAUCCCUGUUGACACCACAGAGAUCAUUGGCUGACCAUGCGAAAACAUCUUUGUUGUUGAAUAAAAACCUUAUCAAAGUUUUUUCCUGCUCUUCAGAUAAUUGAGACCCCAGCAGUACCUUCUGCUCUGUUAUGUCUUCACAUAGAAGCAUGGGCUUCUACUGAUCAGCCGAAGCAGCCUUCUCUCUUCUGUACUUGUACUGCUCAUAAGAUUUAGCUCCAUCUAUAUUGUGGAUGGCUUUUGAGUCUGUCCAAUUUCCCUUAGCCUUUCUGGCAGCUUCCUGACUUCCAUGAAUUGCAAUAGGCCCUUGUUCCGAAGGUAUCUUCAUGCAUAGGUAUGCUGGAUGAAGAAUUGCUUCAAAAGCAUUAAGUGUCCCACGACCAAUGAUUGCAUUGUAGGGGUACUCCAUAUCAACAAUAUCAAACACAACAUGUUCGGUCCUUGUGUUGUGGACAAAUCCGAAGGUCACUAGCAUUAUGAUCUUGCCAAGUGCUACGAUCUGCCUUCCUCCGAAGCCACAAAUAGGGUGUGUAGCAUCAUGAAUCUUGUCCUCUGGCUCUUGCAUCUGUCUGAAGGCCUUAGCAAAUAUGAUAUCCGCUGCACUGCCUGUAUCAACCAGAACAUUGUGGACCAGAAAUCCCUUGAUAACACAAGAGAUAACCAUAGCAUCAUUAUGAGGGUAAUCCUUGAGCUGAAGGUCCUCCUGGGAGAAGGUGAUUGGUAUGUGGGACCAUUUUGACUUGAUGAAGGGUCCCUGCACCCCAACAUGCUGCACUCUUCUCUGAACCUCCAUCUUUUGCUUCUUGUUGGCCGGUUCUGAACAUGAACCGCCUGUUAUCGGGAGCACCAGCUUCGUAGCCGAAGUCGUUUCAGCUUGGGUUUUGAAUGAAGCCAUCAGCUCAAAAGUGGAAGUGAGUUCACCGGAGGUGGGCGCCAAUGUUGGGGACUUGUUCUCAAAUGCUAUGAAUCAAGAACAAGGCAACACAAUGUUAAAGGUUAAUAUCCUUCGUCCUUCGAAGCAUUAUUUCCCUUAGGAUAUAACGAUCUUCGGACGAAGGUCAUGAAGGACGUACCUUCAUCAUCAUGAUAAGUGAUAAUGAAAGACAAAGCAUAUGAAACAUGAAAGAUAACAUGAACAAUCAUAUAGCAUUAUUCACGUAUCUUCAUUAUACAAAUUCAAGUAUUUAAAUACAAAAUUUAAUCACAUUUAUACCUUCGGCUUGACAGAAGGCAAAAAAUCCAAGCGUUGCACAUGAGCCAAUACAAGAUAGCAUGAACAGUACAGGGGUACUGUUCAUCUAUUUAUAGGCACAGGACGCAGCCUGUGAGAAAUUACAUUCAUGUCCUUUACAAAGGUUUACAAUCAUAAUACAAGCUAUCAUGGGCCGAUUGGUCAUUUCAUCUUUAAGUCGGUGCAUUUGGAAAUGUACUCUGAAGCCCUUUGAUUGAUAGCUUCGGUUUUGUACCAGUCUUCCGAAGGUGUUUCUUCUUAUGGGACCUUCGGCGACGAAGCAGGCCCCUAACAACCGCAUUCCCACACGUGUUAUAGAUAAUACCAGCCCUCUAGAACGCCUGUUUCAAAAAUCACCUAAUUAUUCUUUGCUCCGAGUGUUUGGUUGUGCAUGUUGGCCUAACCUCCGCCCAUACCAAAAACGAAAACUCUCCUUCCGCUCAAAACAAUGUGUUUUCAUCGGCUAUAGUUCCUUGCAUAAAGGAUACAAGUGUUUCGAUCAUGAUUCUAGUCGAGUCUAUAUUUCUAGAGAUGUCAUUUUUUACGAGCAUGUUUUUCCCUUUGCACAUCUCUCCCCAGGCGCUACUUCAUCACCUGAUACUCAAACUAAUUCAUCAUUACGCAAUAUGCAUUUAAAUGAUGGCAGUUCUAAUGUGCAGCAUGGCUUUAUGCAAUUACCUCAUGUGUUUGUUAACCACUUGAAUGCAGAACAUAUGGUGGAAUCUGUCUCCAGAGCACCUUUGGGAUCGUCGCCAGUGCAUGCUGAGGUCCCAUCACCAUUGGCAACACCACCCGUUAAUGAUGCGCCCAUCAUUCUGCCCCUGGACUCUACGGGUCAUGCACCUGCUACUACUGCACCGGACACUUCUUUGGCGCCAGUUCCGGUCUUAGCAGCCUCUAGUUGUCCUGCAUCAACCGAGAUGGCAGUCAAGGUAUCUAACGAACCAACUUCACAUAUCACUGCUCUUUCUGAUCCGCUUUGGCGCCAAGCCAUGCAAGAAGAAUUUCAGGCGCUGAUUCAAAAUAAUACCUGGCAUCUGGUACCUCCGGUCGAUGGUCUCAAUGUGAUUGACUGUAAAUGGGUGUUCAAGUUGAAGCAUCAUUCUGAUGGCUCCAUUGAGCGUCAUAAAGCCCGCUUAGUGGCAAAAGGUUUCAAGCAGCAAUAUGGUGUUGAUUAUGCUGAUACUUUCAGCCCGGUUGUCAAACCAACUACUAUCAGAUUGCUUCUUUCUCUUGCAGUCUCUCGUGGUUAGAACAUACGACAAAUUGACAUCAAAAAUGCUUUUCUUCAUGGAGUAUUGAAUGAAGAUGUCUACAUGCGGCAACCUCCAGGGUUCAUUGAUGCUAAAUAUCCCAAUUAUCUUUGCAAAGUGGAUAAGUCUUUAUAUGGCCUUAAGCAAGCACCACGUGCGUGGUUUCGCGUCUAAGCUCCAAACUUAUUGAGUUCGGAUUCACAGCUUCCAAAGCUGAUGUCUCUCUAUUUAUUUUCAAUAAGGCCAAUCUUCAUAUUUAUAUGUUGAUCUAUGUUGAUGACAUCAUAAUUAUCAGUUCUUCUCCAACGGCUACUAAAAAAUUGUUGCUCCAGCUUCAAGAGGAUUUUGCAGUCAAAGAUUUGGGUUAUCUCCAUUACUUCCUUGGCAUUGAGGUGGCUCAUUAUCCUGAUCGUUUGGUUCUGUCUCAACACAAGUACAUUCGAGAUCUUCUAGCCAAAACCAACAUGGCAACAUCCAAAGGCGUACCAACUCCUAUGCUGCCAACAGAUAAAUUAUCACUUGAUGGAGGCGACCCCUUAUUUCCUGAAGAUGCCACAAGAUAUAGGAGUGUUGUGGGAGCUCUCCAGUAUCUUCUUCUGACACGACCGGAUCUCUCUUUUUCUAUUAAUCGGGUCUGCCAAUAUAUGGUCGCACCAACCACUAUGCAUUGAGCUGCUGUGAAGCGUAAUCUACGGUAUUUGCACGCCACCUAUGAUCUUUGUUUAUGCUUCAUGAAGAUCGGUUCCUCUCUUCUUAGUGCCUUUUCGGAUGCUGACUGGGCUGGUAAUCCGGAUGAUAGGCGUAGCACUGGAGGCUAUGCUAUGUUUUUUGGUGGGAAUCUAGUGUCUUGGAGCUCUCGAAAACAAUCUACAGUCUCUCGUUCCAUUGCUGAAUCUGAAUACAAGGCAAUCGCUGAUGCCACAGCUAAACUUAUAUGGAUACAGGUUUUAUUACGAGAACUUGGUAUACAGCAGGAUUGUCCACCUACACUCUGGUGUGACAAUCUUAGAGCCACCUAUUUAUCAGUGAAUCCUAUUUUCCAUCGCCGUUCUAAACACAUUGAGGUCGAUUAUCAUUUUGUUAGGGAACGGGUUGCGUCUCAUCAAUGGGACAUUCGGUCGAUCUCGACGAAAGAUCAGCUUGCUGAUGCAUUUACCAAACCAUUGGUUGGACCAGCGUUCACGCAAUUUUGAAACAAUCUUGACUUAGUUUUUACGCGUCCAGAUUGAGGGGGUGUUAAAGAUAGAAACUCUGAUCUAUUCUGAGUAUAUAAUCCUCAUGUUUAGGAAGUUGUGUCUCUUGAUUGAUUGCGUGAAUCACGCUUGUAAUCCUACCAAACUUGUACUCUAUGAUGCUAUAUAAGAUGACCGUCGUGGCUCUUGCCAGGCAGGCUAUUCAUGCCAACCAACACAAUCCACAUGAAUUAGGAUCAAACCGAUCAGAGCACUGGUGACGUAGCUAACCCGGCACGAAAAUGUAUUACAUGAUUACAAAUUGUGCGACCAUUGCAACUGCAUUCGACAACAAUUGCUUGAUGGUAGCCAUACCAGGAAUCACAUAAUGAGCAGCACCAAGGAGUCAAACCUUUUAUACACCUGAUCCUUUAUCUAAUUACCACCUAUCCUGCAAGAACUUGGUGUAGUAGCUGAUGGUCGAUAGUCUCCCAAUGCUCGUCGCAGUACUCAUCACCAUUGAUCGUAGUCUCGCAACCGCAAUGUAGCCAAGCAUAGAGCCUGAACAGUGUAGAAGCAUUGUUGCCCAAAGUCAUAGAGAUGGAGGUGCCUGUCAUGCCUUUGACUGCCUGCUCAGGCCUUGAUGGGAAGUUGUGAAGCAUUAAGCCAAAAGUUCACAAGUAACAGAAGACACAAAAUACUUGCUUAAACCUAACCUAACUUUUGGAGUGACCAAGGUAGGUUUUGGUUCAGAGGACGAGAAGACAUGGAAUGGGGUGAUCCUAGAUUUGGAUUAGGGCCUCACAAAAAUAUACACGGCGAGCAAAGUGAACUGCUUCCUCUUCAAUGUCUCCACCAAAUCAUGCCCAAUGAAAAUGGAAACAAAGCGAAAUCCUAUCACCAUAGCUAGCUUGAUGGUGAGGUUCUAAGAAACCUGGCACUUGACUCUAUUUCAAUUGGACUGAAGAAAAACAAAACAGUGCAAUAGGAACUUACACCCAACAUCUUGAUUAGAACCUUGAGGGGAAAUAUCAGUAGAUCACUACCGUAACCCAGAUUGAGGAAUUUGCAUCUCUUCGGAACCAUAUUCAGAAUGUCCAUUUUUCAGCCGAAUGAAGAAGAUAACAUCACUUGGAAAUAGCCCGCACGUGUUUGGGUAAUACAACACCAAUUUAGCAUACAAAACUUUAGUCUUAGGCUCCUAUCGACAAUACAGAACAAACACUAGUUGGUCAGCAGCACAUGAAGGAAAUGAUUGUGAAACUUUUAACCUAGAUUCGCACCCAAAAAAUCCUCAUUGUGAAGGAUCGAAUAAGGCGACUAAAGAGGGAUGAAUGUGAGCUAAUAAAAAUGCAGUCUUGACUUGCUUCCUAAUUUUACAACCUAACCCCCCAAAACUCCAAACGAUAUAUAAGAUAUGUGGAAGCAUCUGCUGGUGGCUAAAUGUUCUUGGUGAUGACUGGAGAUCACAAGAAAGCGCCCAAAUUGGCUAUAAAUGGGUUUGCAAGGACAAUCUUUUAAAACUAGAAAUUGAGCACUUAACCUCAAUAGAAAUGAAGAGAGUGAUCAAACCAAAAGCAUAUCAACCAACUUGUGGUUCCAUGUUUCGAAACAUUCCUGUGGUAUGCAUGAGUCCAACCAAACAAAUGGAUUGCAAAACAAAUAGUGAAAAGUCUGAAACGACCUAAAAUCGUAUCGCUUACUCAGGCUGAUUUUAGUAGCCCCGAAUUAAGUUCCAAAAUGCAAAAUUGAUCCAAAUGGACUCCGAUUAGGCUGAAAUUUUGCACACAUUUUCGCAUAGGAGUUUUAAAGGCUCAUACAAAAUCUGAACUAAAAAGAAUUAAAAUUCAAAUUUAGAACUGAAAAUACGAAUUUGGAUUGGGGUUUUCUAAAAAUGGCUCAAGGGAAUGGAAAAUUAUGUUCUAGGUGAAUUAAUCUAUACCACUUGGUGGCAAUGAUCCUAAGAGAUCAUAACACGUUUCUAUUCAACCCAAAUGAGCCCAAGAACUCAGAUUCGCAAAAUUCCUCAAAAACUCAAACUAGAGUAGUAGAGAGGAGAAGACACAACUCAUGAUCAAACCCCAUCAGAUUUGGCAUGAAUUGAAAACCCCAAAGGGCAAUGUGUGGUUCCAACCACACUUCCUUAAAAUCACACAAACUUAGAUGUAAAGGUUUAAAUCAUCUAAGGAUCUCCUAAUAAAAUGAGAAGGAAAUGAAGAUUACAAGUAAAAGAGGUACUAGAAAGAUGGUUGAAUGGUUUGGAUCUCCCCUCCUAUUUAUAGAGGGUUAUUCCUCUUUCCUAAAGUACCCCUAGAUAUAACUAUCUAUCCACUCAGCCAGGAGCAAAAUGGAUCAACUCUUGGAUUUUUGAUCUGACAGUCACAAACUCUUCAUGAAGUUGCUUCACCUAGACGCACCCUCUGUGAUGACACUACAUGUUGGCUCUGAUUCCCUCCAAAAUCGUGCCACCGAGUUUUGAGGCCCAAACUCAGUUAUACCCGCGAACUGUCAUGUUGGGUGGUUUUGAGGCUCAACCCCUGAAACCCCCGCAGGUAGAGUACUUCAUAUUCAUCCCCCAAGUCCUAGACAUGUGCCAUGCUAGUCCGCAAUCGUGUUGGUGACAUGAUCUGCUUCUCUAUGCCCUUAUGUUUGUUAGUGUCCCAUGGUUUCAGCCGCCAUAGCUAGUCAUCCGGCUUCUCUAGUCCCUCGGUCAAGACUCAGCGCUCGUCAUUCGCCGCUUCUGGUCUAUCAUCAUGAACCCACAUGUCCUUCACCUUCACCAUCGACCACCAUCUCAAGACUCCACACAUACGCCACACAGACCAAGAGACAUGUUGCAAAAAUACACUCAUGUCCCAGUUAGUCCACAAGACUCAACCUAAGACACUACAUUUGUUGACAAUCACUCAUCACAAAUUGAACCACAAGGACAUAUAUCAACCUUGUGUUUGCAAUAUCCUCCUUGAUGAGUGCAUUAUCAACACGACCGCACAAACACAAAGAUUGGCAGAAAAGAAGGAAGAACUCACUCAAAUGAAAAAAUGCCAUACAAAAGCCAAUUCAAGUCAUUGGGAGUGAGCAAACCUUGGUCCCCAAAGAUAUGGGAAACAACUCAAUAUAACCAAGAAAAAAUGGCUAGCCCUCAAGAAGAGGCAAAAGCGGCUCAACAACACUAACCAACAAUCAGAGCAAAAGACCGCCAUAAAACUGAGAGAAAUACUAGUCCCUCAAGAACGAAGCAAAGGCUCAACCCAACUAGCAAAACAUAUCUUAAAACACCCCCUAAAAGAAAUAACUCUCGUUGAAGAAGUGUUGAAAGCCUCAUAACAGAAUGCAUCCUCAAUAAGGUAUUUGUGUAUGUGUAUAUUUACCCCCCUUGUUGAUAAGUGCACGCAGCAAGCACCGCCCAUAAGCACAUAAAAUGCAAAUCCCUCUCAAAAGUAGCCUCCUCUUUGAAUAUGCAUGAAAGCAGAAAAAAUGCAGGAAAUGUAAGACAUCAGUCGUACAAAUCAUGUCAAGGAGGUUAAUAAAUUCCUUUCAACAAAAUGCAAGGAUUCUUUGGAGGAUUGCUGCUAUUAAAGAAAGCCCUGGGUUGCAGACUCAGUAUGGAAGGGUGGUAUGCUUUCCACUAUUGGCGGUUCUAGAUAAGAAAAGGUUGAGUUCGUCUGGCUACCUAGGAGGACAAAGCUUCUACAAUUUGAGUAAUCCUAAACACUAACCCUAAGCCCUAAGUCCUUAAUCGUAAACAUGUGAGAGCAAAAAUGGUGGAGGAGGAGAAAGAUAUGAUAUUUGACUAAGCCUUCUAUUUUGGGUUGAAAUGAGAGUCAUCCUAAGAUCGAUGUAUAUUUCAUCUGAGGCAGAGUACUGCCUCCAUUCUGUAAUGUUUGUCCAAUAUCACAAUAAGUACACAAAUUAUAGAAGCGAUGCCAAGAAAAAGUUGAUGUGAAAUGACCAACCAUGACUCUGUUAAAUAUUAUGAUGUGACAUUUUCAUUUCAAGUUUUUAAUUAGGGUAGUAAUUAGGGAUGGCAGUGGGUAAGGUACCCAGUGGGCACACGAAGCCAUACCCAUACCCACUAGGAAAAAAUUGACCCAUACCCAUACCCACUACCCAUCAUGGGUACAAAAUUACAUCAUACCCAUACCCACCAUGGGUAGCGGGUACCCAUCGGGUACCCAUACCCAUUAACAUUACGAUAGACAUGAUCAUUUGAAUCGCAAAAAUAAGUACCAGCAUAACAAAUGUAUCGAACCCAACAUAAUUUUAUCACAGGUUCAACAAUAUUCAACAUUAAAUGGCAACAUCAUGCCUUCAAAUCACACAAAACAUAGCAUUGAUUCUACAAAACUGUGGACAAAAUCAUGCCUUCAAAUCUAAUUGUUCAAUACACAAUACUUAAUAUUUGAAUAUAUAAGACUUCUAAGCUGUUGGAGCUUAAGGGCAUCCUUCUCUUCCAAUUCCAGUCUUGUUGCUCAGAGUAAAAGCUUCUACAAAGCAGUAAAAGAAGUAUGGGGCAAAUAGAGAGAGCAAAUUCAUUUUAUAUGAGACAUAAAUCCGGACCCAUGUGUCAUAUAUUAGCGGGUUCUCUAUCGCGUAGCGGGUAUGGGGCAACAGAGAACAUACCCACGCCCACCGUACCCAAUGGGCAUAACAAAUGACCCAAUAAAAUACCCAUGGGUAUCAAAAUCCGCCAUACUCGUGCCCUAAUAGGGUUUUUACCCAUCGGGUUUCGGGUUUCGGGUACCCAUUGCCAUCCCUAGUAGUAAUGAGUGAAAAUAUUGCAAUAAAAAUGCUUGGUAUUGUGACAUGGAGAACGAAAACAGUAUAUAAUAGUCUUCAUGAGGAGCAAAAUAAGUGAGCAACUAAGCAUAGCUCGGCUGGUAAGGGCACUUGUGGUGUAAUCUACCCACCAGGGUUCUAAUGAUGACUUGUCCAUCUCAAGAAUCUAGCAGUUAUUGAGUGUCUGCAUUUGUACUUUAUUUUAAAAAGAGAGUGAAACAAGGGUGAAGGUGAUUUGAUUUUAAUAGCUUACUUUAUUUUUAAAAAAAGAAUUUAAAAAGGGAGUGGAACAAGAAUGAAGGUGAUUUAUUUUUUAUAGUUUACUUUAUGUUUAAAAAGAAUUUAAAAAGGGAGUGGAACUUGAGUUAAGGUGAAUUAUUAUUUAUAGUUUUUUAAAAGGCGGAAGGAAUGGAACAAUAGUGAAGUGAUUUAUUGUUUAUAGUUUACUUUAUUUUAAAAAAGAAUUUUAAAGGGAAUGGAACAAGAGUGAAGGUGAUUUAUUGUUUUUAGUUUUUUUUAAGAAAAAGAAAAAAGAGUAGAACUAGAGUGAAGGUGAUUUGUUGUUUAUAGGUUUUUUAAAAAUAAGUAGAGAGCUGAUCAUGACCACAUGAUUUUGCUUUUCUUCUCUUUUUUGUUAUGAGAGGAGUGCAUGUCUUGUGUUUGUUUUGAACUUUUGUGUGAGAGGAAAAGAACCAGGACCACCGAGCUCCGACCUACUUAUAGCAAUUGUGUACACGUGUUCGUGGACAAGUCGGACAGAGUUUUUUCAAGGAACAAAAAUACGCUAGCCAGCGAUGUCUAUGGUGCGCCGUACGCUCCUUGCCUCCAUCGUCCAUAAAUAUGGUUCCCAACUGCAACAUUGAUCUCCCCACACACACGCAUCCAUCAAAGAAACAAGAGCACACAAACAAUACCUCUCUAGCUCGCCACCAACAAUGGCCUCUAGGUUCUCCAUCAUGCUCGCCACAACGGCACUGGCUACGUUUUUUGUGAUUGGUUCGUGCACCACCCCGCUCACCUUCAAGGUCGGCAAAGGCUCCAAGCCUGGCCACCUGGUCCUCACCCCCAACAUUGCCACCAUCUCCGAAGUGGAGAUCAAGGAGCACGGUGGCGAUGACUUCUCCUUUGAGCUCAAGGAGGGCCCGGCCGGCACCUGGACGCUUGACACAAAGGCCCCACUCAAGUACCCCCUCUGCAUCCGCUUUGCCAUCAAGUCUGGCGGCUACCGCAUCGCCGAUGAUGUCAUCCCUGAAAAUUUUAAGGCCGACACCACCUACAAGACCACCCUCAGCAUCUGAUCAUCCUCUUAUGAGGAAUAAUAUUUUGAAAGAGCUCAUCUGAUCCAUGUGCCAGCGAGCUAAUAUUUAAUUUUUGUUCUAUGGUUAUUUUAUGGCACCACACCACCCAAGAAAUAAGUUAUGUUACAUGUCCCUUCGUGCACCUUGUUGUGUUGGGUUAAUACGGUUAUAUAAAUUGAAAUACAAUAUGUAUUUAAUAUUUUUAGAGAGAAAUAUGUUGAUUUGGUCCAUUGUUGGUCACUUGUUUUUUAUUCCUUCAGAAGAUCAAAAACAAGGCAACACAAUUAGAUUAACCUUCAUGAUCAUCCUUUACUCUAUCUAUCUUGGAAGAACGAUAGAUUAAAUG
RNAcentral lists this long non-coding RNA (77226 nucleotides) under Zea mays. RNAcentral describes it as "long non-coding RNA (ZMAY_LNC004052)". Lineage: Eukaryota; Viridiplantae; Streptophyta; Magnoliopsida; Poales; Poaceae. The record is from RNAcentral.